RNAcentral lists this long non-coding RNA (84319 nucleotides) under Triticum aestivum (bread wheat). RNAcentral describes it as "long non-coding RNA (TAES_LNC025186)". Lineage: Eukaryota; Viridiplantae; Streptophyta; Magnoliopsida; Poales; Poaceae. The record is from RNAcentral.
UCAAGCUGACUUAUGGCCAAAGUCACAUGCUGACCACCUUCAUAGGCGAAGAAAAAUGGAAAUUUGAGAAGGUCAGGCAGCUGAAGAAAGCACUGUACAAGAAGGAGUGCCUUCUGAAGAAAAACAUCAUGAAAAUGACCACUGAUGAACUCAUUGCUGCUCAGACGGAGAUCAAAAACCUCAAUGAUGAAUUUGACACGUACCAUGCAGAUUGGCUUGGAGCCGAAGUCGGGUUUGUAAAGUUAGCUGAAAAAUUCACUACCAAUGUUGUAGCCCCAACGCAACAAGAAAUUCCUCAGGCUGAAGCAUCUGCUCAGCCUACUGAAGAAAAUGCCAGCACCGCUGAUGACAAUCAGGCUGCUGAAGAAAAUGCUAGUACCAGAGCUGAUGACUGCAUUCCAACCGCUGAUGAAACUGCCAGGGCAACCACUAGUGUUGCGCCUGAAGAAACUGUCAGGACAGCUGAAGCUUCAACCGCUGUGCCUGAAUAAACUGCCAGGGGAACUACAUCAGUUGUGCCUGAAGAAACGCAACCAAUUUCCUCUGCUUGUCCUACACCUACAUCAAGUCCAAUUAUUCCUUCAACAUCAGAAGCAAAGAAGACCAAGGGUGCAGAGCGCGCAGCUGUGAAGAAAAGGAAAGCAUCAACUUCAUCAGAAUCUUCAGCUCCGAAGAAGAUGAAGAAAUUAACCAGCUCUUUUGAAAAUCCGAUUGAUGUUGUUCCAGUCUCAAGCAUGCCAUCAAAGGAACUCGUUCCUUUUGAUGAAGAAUACAUGAUCCCAAGCGGAUCCGAUGAAGACAUUCCUUCUGCUGCUUCUUCAAAGCAGUUGGAUGAAGAAAUUGAAGUGGAUGCCCUUCAACACCGGUUGUCUCAUCGCUGAUGCCUCAGUUUACUGCUGAAGAGGCCGGCGUUGAAGAAAUAAAUGAACAUGAGGAUGUGUACAUUGGGUGCACAACGCCAGUGAUGAAUGAUGACUUUUGGGAAAGUCGGCACCCCAAUUCUCCUUUGUUCACUCCUCUGCAACAAAUUCCUCAGUCCCCCGUGACUACUGAAGUUCAAAUGGGAUCUGAAGAACCACACCCCAUCCGGUCUAUACCUGAAGAGAUUCCAGCCACUAGUGCUGAUGAAAUCGCUGCUAAAGAAUUGAAGACCCAGGCCGCCACUGAAGAAGAAACUGAAAUUCCUCAGCCCAUGGAUCCCGAGAUUGCGAUUCCUGAGGUUGUGAUGCAAUUGACUGACACUCCUCAGCCCAAGCCAAAGUAUCCUUUCUCAAAGAAGCCAAAAUUCAAUGUUGAUGACUUCUUCCAUGAGCAUGUAUUCUUCACGGACUACAACCCAUAUGACUCUGCUUGUCUUAGAGGAAGCAUUUCUAGACUACCAGCCAAGCAAACUUCUAUUCUUCGCUGCUUUUAAACAAAGACAAAGUCUUUGACCAUGAGCAUAUUCCUCACAUAGACAUGGAAUCACUGCCUUGCUUCGCGCCAAUCCUCAGUGUUCUUUAUGACGCUAGACUGCUCAACUUUUGCACUGAUAUUGUUGAUUGGAAUGAAGAGCUAAUUCUCCAGUUCUAUGCAACGCUGCACAUCACAGGAGAUGCUGAAGAUGUGAACUCUUGCGUAUUGGACUGGAUGACAGAGAAUACACACUUCAAAGCACCGGCCUCUGAAUUGCUUCAUGCCCUGCCUGUCAGUUGUAACGCCCUCGAUGCGGCUAUAUCUCCUACGUGUCGAAGCACGACUUAGAGGCAUAACAGCAUUGAAAGCAAUGUCGCAAGUAAGGUAAUCUUCACAACAACCCAUGUAAAUAGAUAAUAGGGAAAAAGGUACAUAGUUGGAUUACACUCGCCAUGUCACACAAAGUACAUAAAUAACAUUACAAUCAUCCAAUACACUCAUGGUCCGACUAAGGUACCAAAAUAAAAGAUCAACCCCAACAUGCGACACGGUCCCGAUCGCCCCAACUGGGCACCACUACUGAUCAUCAGGGAAAGACACAUAGUAACGGCGUGAGUCUUCAUCGAACUCCCACUUGAGCUCAAGUGCAUCAUCUGGAACAGAAUCAUCGGUCCUUGCAUUUGGUUUGGAAGUAAUCUAUGAGCCACGGAGACUCAGCAAUCUCGCACCCUUGCGAUCAAGACUAUUUAAGCUUAUAGGUAAGGCAAGGUAAUAUGUGGAGCUGCAGCAAGCGACUAGCAUAUAUGGUGGCUAACCUGUUCGCAAAAGAGAGCGAGAAGAGAAGGCGAAGCUGAACGAGAAACUAUAGAACAACCUACGGCAAACAUUACUCCAACACCAUGUUCACUUCCCGGACUCCGCCGAGAAGAGACCAUCACGGUUACACACGCAGUUGAUUCAUUUUAAUUAAGUUAAGGUUCAUGUUAUCUACAAUCGGACAUUAACAAAUUCCCAUCUGCCCAUAACCGCGGGCACGGCUUUUGAAAGUUCAAAUCCCUGCAGGGGAGUCCCAACUUAGCCCAUCACAAGCUCUCACGGUCAACGAAGGAUAAACCUUCUCCCGAGACAUUCUGAUCAGACUCGGUAUCCCGGUUCUACAAGACAACUUCAACAAGGUAAAACAAAACCAGCAACACUGCUCGAAUGUGUCGACAAAUCCCAAUAGGAGCUGCACAUAUCUCGUUCUCAAGGCACACUCAGAUGAGCGCUCCAUACAACUAAAACCAAACCUCGAGUUUCCCCAGGGGGCGCUGCAUAGGGCUCUAGUUUGGACCAACACUCAGAGGAGCACUGGCCCGGGGGGCUUUAAAUAAGAUGACCCUAGGGCUCCGGAAACCCAAGGGAAAAAGAGGCUAGGUGGAAAAUGGUAAAACCAAGGUUGGGCAUUGCUGGAAGAGUUUUAUUCAAGGCGAACUGUCAAGGAGUUCCCAUUAUCACUCAACCGCGUAAGGAACGCAAAAUCCGGGAACAUAACACCGAUAUGACGGAAACUAGGUCGGCAAGAGUGGAACAAAUCACUAGGAAAAAGGCCGAGCCUUCCACCCUUUACCAAGUAUAUAGAUGCAUUAAGAUAUAAAGAUAAUAUAGUGAUAUCCCAACAAUAACCAAUGUUCCAACAUGGAACGAGCUCCAAUCUUCACUUGCAACUAGCAACGCUAUAAGAGGGGCUGAGCAAAGCGGUAACAUAGACAAACAACGGUUUGCUAGGACAUGGUGGGUAGAUGUUUGACAUGGCAAUUUGGGAGGCAUGAUAAGCAAGUGGUAGGCAUCGUAUCAUAGGCAUAGCAAAAGAGCGAGCAUCUAGCAAGCAAAGAUAGAAGUGAUUUCGAGGGUAUGAUCAUCUUUCCUGCAAAGUUGUCAGAGUUGACUUGAUCCUCGUAAGCACACUCAACGGGCUCCUCGUUAGCGAACUCGUCUCCCGGCUCUACCCAAACAAGAUAAACAAGCAAAAGGAACACAAUCAACCACGUGCAAAGCACAAACAAAUAUGAUGCAAACAUGGUAUGCUAUGCGGGAUGCGAUAUAUGAUGCAUAUGCAAGAUUUGACGAGGAAUGAUUGACCCUGGCCUCAACUUGGAAAUCCAAGAGUGCCACUGGAAAGGUGAGGUGAUUUCGGUUGAAAUCGAUAUAAAGAUCACCGGAACCGGAUGUACGGUUUGGAAAUGGCAAGCAAAACAAAUAUGGCACCGGUCUGCGAUAAACAGCAAGUAGCCAUCUAAAUGCAUCAAGAUAAAUAUGCUACAACACUCAAACAUGGCAACAAAAUACAUGGCAGGGAUCCACUCAUGAUGCUUGACAAAAGAUGAACACUGAGCUACGGCCAAUUCAUCCAUUAACAGGUUCAAACAAGCAUGGCAAAAAUGCAAACGAUAACAGGUUUCAGACUUCGUGAAAUUAACACAAGUCUGGAGUUUCACAUCAGGUAGCACACUUUGGAGCAUGAAAACUAUAUGUUACAGGAACUUAACAUGGCAAAGAAAGGCAUGACAUGAAGCUACUCAAAGCACUUAACAAAAGUCCCUUAGUGACCUUGGGCCAAAAGGGAUCAGAAAAUACAAUUGCAAGUAUGCGAACAUGGCAAAAACAUAAUCAGAUUAUAGACUUAGAGAAAAACUGGAACAUGCAAAUCUGUUAACGAAUAGAGAUGUUCACGAGCUCGAUGCACUCACUACAGAGCAAGGCAUGACAAUCUAAGCAUACACCCAUCAAGAAUACAUAUCAUAGAAGCUAUACAUGGCAAGAACAACAAUAUAGCAUGCACGGAUCAAUAACAACAUCCUCGGCAAAAUCGCUAACAAGUCAACAAUCUGCCAGGAUUCACGAAAUAGCAAAAGUAGAGCUCGAUUGACUCAAGCUAUGGUGCUCCCUAAAAACAGCAUUAACGAAUGCACUACUUUGCAAGCUUGUGUUAGUCACCACACAUGUCACAAAAAUACAUGAUAAGCACCUCUGUAAAGAUGGCAUGACAUAUAACAAAACACAUGUAGAGCUCAGGAGCAUAUCAUGCACACAUUAAUCAUGGCAAAAAUGACACAUAGCUAUUUGGUGCAGCAGAUCUGACAAUUAUCUCGAAUAGCUCUCUUCCAACAGCAUUUCGGGCAUCAAGAUGAGCUCAAAUGAAAAUGAUGCAAUGAGAUGAAAUGAUGUACUCUCUGAGGCGAACACUUUGAUACGCUACACGCGCAAAACAGAGCUACGGAUGCAAAGUUAUGGCAUGAUGAAAAACGCAAAAUAACUAGGGUUUCGGGGGAAAGUCAAACGAGGAGAAAGUCUUAGAUCCAGAUCUGGCACGGUUCACGAUGCGCUCGCCGGAGUUUACUGCAGCUCGCCGGACUUGGCGCGGUGGCCGGACUUGGCGCAGCGCACGCCGACNNNNNNNNNNNNNNNNNNNNNNNNNNNNNNNNNNNNNNNNNNNNNNNNNNNNNNNNNNNNNNNNNNNNNNNNNNNNNNNNNNNNNNNNNNNNNNNNNNNNNNNNNNNNNNNNNNNNNNNNNNNNNNNNNNNNNNNNNNNNNNNNNNNNNNNNNNNNNNNNNNNNNNNNNNNNNNNNNNNNNNNNNNNNNNNNNNNNNNNNNNNNNNNNNNNNNNNNNNNNNNNNNNNNNNNNNNNNNNNNNNNNNNNNNNNNNNNNNNNNNNNNNNNNNNNNNNNNNNNNNNNNNNNNNNNNNNNNNNNNNNNNNNNNNNNNNNNNNNNNNNNNNNNNNNNNNNNNNNNNNNNNNNNNNNNNNNNNNNNNNNNNNNNNNNNNNNNNNNNNNNNNNNNNNNNNNNNNNNNNNNNNNNNNNNGGGUGGAGGCGCGGUGAUGUGGGCGCGGGGCGGCGGCGAACCGGAAGGCGCCACGUGGCGCUGGCGGGCGGGUCGGACACGUCCGGCCGGCGAGAUUUUGUUCGGCCGCGAGGAGAGGGAGAGGGUUAGGGUUUCACCUGGGAAUUUCGGAGGGGGUUCUUUAUAUAGGCAUAGAGGGAGCUAGGAGAGUCCAAAUGAGGUGCGGUUUUCGGCCACGCGAUCGUGAUCAAACGCUCUAGAUGAUGGAGAGAGUUUUGGUGGGUUUUGGGCCAAAAUGGAAGGGUGUUGGGCUGCAACACACACGAGGCCUUCUCGGUCCCUCGGUUAACCGUUGGAGUAUCAAACGAAGUCCAAAUGGUACGAAACUUGACAGGAGGUCUACCAGUAGUAAACCAAGGCCGCGUGGCAAGUCUCGGUCCAAUCCAGAAAUGUUUAACCCCCACACACGAAAAGAUGUAGAAAAGACCACCGGAGGAGAUAGGAGCGCCGGAAUGCAAAACGGACAACGGGGAAAAUGCUCGGAUGCAUGAGACGAACACGUAUGCAAAUGCAAUGCACAUGAUGACAUGAUAUGAGAUGCAUGACAAAGGCAACAACACACAGAGACAAAAGCCCGAACCCGAGGAAAUAAAAUAACUUAGCGCUGGAAACGGCAAGAGUAUGAGUACAUAUUAGGUAAAUUACAUCCGGGGUGUUACAUCAGUCCUCCCCUUGAAGGCGCUCGUUGCAUAUAUCAUGAACCUGAACUUACCGCUCACUACAUGCAAGUGUUGAUGAAGCCGCUGAAGCCCGAUCAAGCCCCAAGGACCAAAUUCCUCGUGAAGGAAUUGUUGUUUGUUCCUAGAACUAUCUAUCGCAAUCUGUCGAAGACAUUGAGUCCAAUAAAAGGCCACGACUCGAAUGAUGAAGAAUUUGUUGGCAUCAUGAAGAAUCUGCUAUCAUACAUGGCAUUCCUAUGAACUACCAUGACUUCUUCUUGAGGACUCUGGCAAAUGUUGCACUCUCUCCAUUUGAGUUGAAGCCUUAUGCUCCUUGGAUUAUGAGAUUCCUCAGAACAAGGUCUUCACUCAACUACAAGGCUGAUUUUCAGAAUCAUGUCAGUUACUUGCCCCCAAUAGAAGUCCUCAAGCGGACAUUUUCCUCAUCUGAUGAAAAGGGCAAGGCUACUACUAUUAUUGAUGAAGGCAUUCAUCCAUUGGAUGGUCUGUUCCGCAAAGCUGCAUCCUACUCCACCAAUAAUGACUCUGCCACUCAUGACUCUGCCGCAAAUGCUUCAAAGCAAAAUCCUCAAGGAACAGCUCCAAGGGUGAUGACUGAUCGUGAGCUUCUCCUCAGUCUUCACCGGAAGGUCGAUCGCAACCACAAAUGGGUUAAGUGUCAGUUUGGUUCUAUUCUUCACAACAUGACUGCUACACACAAUGAAGUGAAGAAAAACCAUUUCUACCUCCAUGAAGUCUUCGGUCGCACCUGGGUUGUUUUGUCGAAUCUGUAUGGUGAAGAUGAUCUGAAGCAAAUGGGUCUCAAGCAGCACUUUGACUGGUCUCAACCACCGGUGAAGAAAUUCAAGAAGACCAAAGUUCCUUCCUUAAUAGCUGAUACGUCCAUUUUGCAUCACGCUUUUAUAUCAAUAUUUAUUGCAUUAUGGGAUGUUAUUACACAUUAUGUCACAAUACUUAUGCUUAUUCUCUCUUAUUUUACAAGGCUAACAUAAAGAGGGAGAAUGUCGGCAGCUGGGAUUCUGGCUAGAAAAGGAGCAAAUAUUAGAGACCUAUUCUACACAGCUCCGAAAGUCCUGAAACUUCACGGAUGAUGUUUUCCAAAUAUAUAAAAACAUUGAGCGCAAGAACUUCGCCAGGGGGGGCACACUCUACCCACGAGGGUGGGGGCGCGCCCUACCCCCUGGGCGCGCCCCCCUACCUCGUGGGCCCCCUGGUGGCCCUCCGGUGACCAUCUUCUACUAUAUGGACUCUUUCGAUGGGAAAAAAUCAUAAGCCAUCUUCUCGGACGAAACUCCGCCGCCACGAGGCGGAACCUUGGCGGGCCAAUCUAGGGUUCUGGCAGGGCUGUUCUGCCAGGGAAACUUCCCUCCCAGAGGGAGAAAUCAUCUCCAUCAUCAUCACCAACGCUCCUCUCAUCGGAAGAGGGCAAUCUCCAUCAUCAUCUUCAUCAGCACCAUCUCAUCUCAAAACCCUAGUUCAUCUCUUGUAUCCAAUUCUUGUCUCCAAGUCCGGGAUUGGUGCUAGUAGGUUGCUAGUAGUGUUAAUUACUCCUUGUAGUUGAUGCUAGUUGGUUUAAUUGGUGGAAGAUCAUAUGUUCAGAUCCUAUAUGCACAUUAAUACCCCUCUGAUUAUGAACAUGUUUAUGCUUUGUGAGUAGUUACUUUUGUUCCUGAGGACAUGGGAGAAGUCUUGCUAUUAGUAGUCAUGUGCAUUUGGUAUUCGUUCGAUAUUUUGAUGAGAUGUAUGUUGUCUCUCCUCUAGUGGUGUUAUGUGAAUGUCGACUACAUGACACUUCACCAUUGUUUGGGCCUAGAGGAAGGCAUUGGGAAGUAAUAAGUAGAUGAUGGGUUGCUAGAGUGACGGAAGCUUAAACUCUAGUUUAUGCGUUGCUUCGUAAGGGGCUGAUUUGGAUCAAUAUGUUUCAUGCUAUGGUUAGGUUUACCUUAAUACUUUUGUUGUAUUUGCGGAUGCUUGCAAUACAGGUUAAUCAUAAGUGGUAUGCUUGUCCAAGUAAGGGCAGCACCCAAGCACCGGUCCACCCACAUACCAAAUUAUCAAAGUACCGAACGCGAAUCAUAUGAGUGUGAUGAAAACUAGCUUGACGACAUUCCCAUGUGUCCUCGGGAGCGCUUUACAUCAUAUGAGAGUUUGUCCAGGCUUGUCCUUUGCUACAAAAAGGAUUGGGCCACCUUGCUGCACCUUAUUUACUUUUGUUACUUGUUGCUCAUUACAAUUAUUUUAUCCCAAAACUAUCUGUUACCACUUAUUUCAGUACUUGCAGAGAAUACCUUGUUGGAAACCGCUUAUCAUUUCCUUCUGCUCCUCGUUGGGUUCGAUACUCUUACUAAUCGAAAGUACUACAAUAGAUCCCCUUUACUUGUGGGUCAUCAAGACUCUUUUCUGGUGCCGUUGCCGGAGAGUGAAGUGCCUUUGGUAGGUGGAAUUUGGUAAGGAAAAAUUUAUAUAGUGUGCUGAAAUUUACUGUCACUUCUUACUAUGGAAAGUAAUCCUCUAAGGGGCUUGUUCGGGGUAUCUUCACCCCGACCAGUAGAGCAAAGAGUUGCUCCUCAACCUACUGAACCUACUAAAAAUGAAAAUUCUUGCUUCGAAAUUCCUUUGGGUAUGGUAGAAAAACUGCUAGCUAAUCCUUUUUUGGGAGAUGGAACAAAACAUCCUGAUGAGCAUCUAAUAUAUGUGGAUGAAGUUUGUGGAUUAUUUAAGCUUGCAGGUGUACCCGGAGAUGUUGUUAAGAAGAAGGUCUUCCCUUUAUCUUUGAGGGGAGAUGCAUCGACAUGGUACAGGCUAUGUGAUGAUAUGGAGUCUUGGAAUUACAAAUGAUUGAAAUUGGAAUUUCAUCAAAAGUUUUAUCAUAUGCAUCUUGUUCAACGUGAUUGCAAUUAUAUAUAUAAUUUUUGGCCUCGCGAAGGAGAAAGCAUCGUUCAAGCUUGGGGGAGGCUUAAAUCAAUGUUAUAUUCAUGCCCCAAUCAUGAGCUCUCAAGAGAAAUGAUUAUUCAAAAAAUUUAUGCUCAGCUUUCUGAUAACAAUCACACCAUGCUUGAUACUUCUUGUGCUGAUUCUUUUAUGAUGAAGACUAUUGAAUUCAAAUGGGAUUUAUUGGAAAGAAUUAAAUGCAACUCCAAAGAUUGGGACCUCGACAAUAGUAAGGAGUCAGGUAUGACACCUAGUUUUGAUUGUGUUAAAUCUUUUAUGGAUACCGAUAUUUUUCGUAAAUUUAGCACUAAAUAUGGACUUGACUCUGAGAUAGAAGCUUCUUUCUAUGAAUCUUUUGCUGCUUAUGUUGAUCUCCCCAAGGAGAAGUGGUUUAAAUAUCAUCCCCCCAUAGAAGUAAAAGUAGCUGCACCUAUUAAAGUUGAAGAAAAGACUAUUACUUAUAAUGAUCCUAUUGUUCCUACUUCUUAUGUUGAGAAACCGCCUUUCCCUAUUAGGAUCAAGGAUCAUGCUAAAGCUUCAACUGUGGUUCGUAAAAGCAAUAUUAAAACAUAUACACCUCCUGAGCAAGUUAAAGUUGAACCUAAUAUUGCUAUUGUUAAAGAUCUCUUGUCUGAUAAUAUAGAUGGGCAUGUUAUUUAUUUCUGUGAUGAAACUGCUAGAAUUGCUAAACCUCGUGAUACAUAUAAACCUAGACCUGUGAUAGGCAUGCCUGUUAUUUCUGUUAAAAUAGGAGAUCAUUGUUAUCAUGGCUUACGUGAUAUGGGUGCUAGUGCUAAUGCAAUACCUUUUGACUUAUACAAAGAAAUUAUGCAUGACAUUGCACCUAUUGAGAUAGAAGAUAUUGAUGUCACAACUAAACUUGCUAAUAGAGAUACUAUUUCACCAAUGCGAAUUGUUAGAGAUGUUGAAGUCUUGUGUGGGAAAACUAAAUAUCCUGCUGAUUUUCUUGUUCUUGGUUCCCCACAAGAUAGCUUAUGUCCCAUUAUAUUUGGUAGACCCUUCUUAAAUACUGUUAAUGCUACCAUAAAUUGCAAAAGAGAUGUUGUUAAUAUCGGUUUAGAUGAUAUGACUCAUGAAUUUAAUUUUUCUAAAUUUAGUAGACAACACCGUGAAGAAAAAUUACCUAGUAAAGAUGAAAUUAUUCGUCUUGCUUCUAUUGUCGUACCUCCUAGUGAUCCUUUAGAACAAUAUUUGCUAGACCAUGAAAAUGAUAUGUUUAUGAAUGAAAGAAGGGAAUUAGAUGAAGUAUUCUUUAAACAUGAAUCUAUUCUGAAACACAAUUUACCUGUUGAAAUCCUAGGAGAUCCUCCUCCACCCAAGGGUGAUCCCGUGUUUGAGCUUAAACCCUUACCGGAUACUCUUAAAUAUGCUUAUCUUGAUGAGAAAAAGAUAUAUCCUGUUAUUAUUAGUGCUAACCUUUUAGAACAUGAAGAAGAGAGAUUAUUGAAAACUCUGAAGAAGCACCAUGCUGCUAUUGGGUAUACUCUUGAUGAUCUUAAGGGCAUUAGUCCCACUCUAUGUCAACAUAAAAUUAAUUUGGAAGAAGAUGCUAAACCAGUUUGUGAUCAUCAAUGCCGACUGAAUCCUAAAAUGAAAGAAGUGGUAAGAAAAGAAAUACUAAAGCCCUUAAGCUCCUUGAGGCAGGUAUAAUUUACCCCGUUGCUGAUAGUCAGUGGGUAAGCCCUGUCCAUUGUGUCCCUAAGAAGGUAGGUAUUACUGUUGUUCCUAAUGACAAAGAUGAAUUGAUUCCUCAAAGAAUUAUUACUGGUUAUAGGAUGGUAAUUGAUUUCUGCAAGUUAAAUAAGGCUACUAAAAAGGAUCAUACCCUUUACCUUUUAUCGAUCAAAUGCUAGAAAGAUUAUCCAAACAUACACAUUUUUACUUUCUAGAUGGUUAUUCUGGUUUCUCUCAAAUACCUGUUGUUGGGGAACGUAGAAUAAAUUCAAAAUUUUCCUACGUGUCACCAAGAUCUAUCUAUGGAGUCAUCUAGCAACGAGGGAGGAGUGGAUCUACAUACCCUUGUAGAUCGCGCGCGGAAGCGUUCAAGAGAACGGGGUUGAUGGAGUCGUACUCGUCGUGAUCCAAAUCACCGAUGAUCCUAGCGCCGAACGGACGGCACCUCCACGUUCAACACACGUACGGAGCAGCGACGUCUCCUCCUUCUUGAUCCAGCAAGGGGGAAGGAGAGGUUGAUGGAGAUCCAGUAGCACGACGGCGUGGUGGUGGAAGUAGCGGGAUUCCAACAGGGCUUCGCCAAGCGCUGCGGGAGGAGGGAGAUGUGUCAUGGGAGGGAGAGGGAGGCGCCAGGGCUUAGGUAUGGUUGCCCUCCCUUCCCCCCACUAUAUAUAGGGCCAAGGGAGAGGGGGGCGCAGCCUUGGCCCUUCCUCCAAGGCAGGGUGCGGCCAGGGAGGAGUCCAUCCUCCCCAAGGCACCUCGGAGGUGCCUUCCCCCUUUAGGACUCUUCCUUUCCUUAUCUCUUGGCGCAUGGGCCUCUUGGGGCUGGUGCCCUUGGCCCAUACAAGCCAAGGCGCACACCCCUACAGCCCAUGUGGCCCCCGGGGUAGGUGGCCCCACCCGGUGGACCCCCAGGACCCUUCUGGUGGUCCCGGUACAAUACCGGUGACCCCGAAACUUGUCCCGAUGGUCGAAAUAGCACUUCCUAUAUAUAAUUCUUUACCUCCGGACCAUUUAGGAACUCCUCGUGACGUCCGAGAUCUCAUCUGGGACUCCGAACAACUUUCGGGUUACCACAUACUAAUAUCUCUAUAACCCUAGCGUCACCGAACCUUAAGUGUGUAGACCCUACGGGUUCGGGAGACAUGCAGACAUGACCGAGAUGACUCUCCGGUCAAUAACCAACAGCGGGAUCUGGAUACCCAUGUUGGCUCCCACAUGUUCCACGAUGAUCUCAUCGGAUGAACCACGAUGUCAAGGACUUAAUCAAUCCCGUAUACAAUUCCCUUUGUCUAGCGGUACGAUACUUGCCCGAGAUUCGAUCGUCGGUAUCCCGGUACCUUGUUCAAUCUCGUUACCGGCAAGUCUCUUUACUCGUUUCGUAACACAUCAUCCCGUGAUCAACUCCUUGAUCACAUUGUGCACAUUAUGAUGAUGUCCUACCGAGUGGGCCCAGAGAUACCUCUCCGUCACACGGAGUGACAAAUCCCAGUCUCGAUUCGUGCCAACCCAACAGACACUUUCGGAGAUACCUGUAGUGUACCUUUAUAGCCACCCAGUUACGUUGUGAUGUUUGGCACACCCAAAGCACUCCUACGGUAUCCGGGAGUUGCACAAUCUCAUGGUCUAAGGAAAUGAUACUUGACGUUAGAAAAGCUUUAGCAUACGAACUACAUGAUCUUGUGCUAGGCUUAGGAUUGGGUCUUUGUCCAUCACAUCAUUCUCCUAAUGAUGUGAUCCCGUUAUCAAUGACAUCCAAUGUCCAUGGUCAGGAAACCGUAACCAUCUAUUGAUCAACGAGCUAGUCAACUAGAGGCUUACUAGGGACAUGGUGUUGUCUAUGUAUCCACACAUGUAUCUGAGUUUCCUAUCAAUACAAUUUUAGCAUGGAUAAUAAAGGAUUAUCAUGAACAAGGAAAUAUAAUAAUAACUAAUUUAUUAUUGCCUCUAGGGCAUAUUUCCAACAGUCUCCCACUUGCACUAGAGUCAAUAAUCUAGUUCACAUCGCUAUGUGACUAACACUCAAGGUCACAUCCCCAUGUGACUAACACCCAAAGAGUUUACUAGAGUCAAUAAUCUAGUUCACAUUACCAUGUGAUUAACACUCGAUGAGUUCUGGGUUUGAUCAUGUUAUGCUUGUGAGAGAUGUUACAGUCAACGGGUCUGAAUCUUUCAGAUCCGUAUGUACUUCGCAAAUUUCUUAUGUCAUCUUGUAGAUGCAGCUACUACACUAUAUUUGGAGCCAUUUCAAAUAACUGUUCUACUUGGAGCUAUUCUAAAUUGUUGCUCCAUUAUACGUAUCCGGUAUCUCUACUCAGAGCUAUCCGGAUAGGUGUUAAGCUUGCAUCGACGUAACUCUUUACGUCGAACUCUUUAUCACCUCCAUAACCGAGAAACAUAUCCUUAUUCCUCUAAGGAUAAUUUAGACCGCUAUCUGGUGAUCCACUCCUAGAUUACCUUUGUACCCUCUUGCCAGAUAUGUGGCAAGGCACACAUCAGGUGCGGUACUCAGCAUGGCAUACCGUAUAGAGCCUAUGACAAAAGCAUAGGGGACGACCUUUGUCCUUCCUCUUUCUUCUGCCGUGGUCGAGCUUUAAGUCUUAACUUCAUACCUUACAACUCAGGCAAGAACUCCUUCUUUGACUGAUCCAUCUUGAACACCUUCAAGAUCAUGUCAAGGUAUGUGCUCAUUUGAAAGUACCAUUAAGCGUUUUGAUCUAUCCUUAUAGAUCUUGAUGCUCAAUGUUCAAGUAGCUUAAUCCAGGCUUUCCAUUGAAAAACACUUUCCAAAUAACCCUAUAUGCUUUCCAGAAAUUCUACGUCAUUUCUGAUCAACAAUAUGUCAACAACAUAUACUCAUCAGAAAUUCUAUAGUGCUCCCACUCACUUCUUUGGAAAUACAAGUUUCUCAUAAACUUUGUAUAAACCCAAAAUCUUUGAUCAUCAUCAAAGCAUACAUUCCAACUCCGAGAUGCUUACUCCAGUCCUUAGAAGGAUUGCUGGAGCUUUGCAUACUUUUUAGCAUCUUUCAGGAUUGACAAAACCUUCCGGUUGUAUCACAUACAACCUUUCCUCAAGAAAAUCGUCGAGGAAACAAUGUUUUGACAUCCUAUCUGCAAGAUUUCAUAAAUAAUGCAGUAAUCGCUAAUAUAAUUCCAACAGACUCUUAGCAUCGCUAUGAGUGAGAAAGUCUCACCGUAGUCAACUCCUUGAACUUGUCGGAAACUUCUUAAUGACAAGUCGAGCUUUCUUAAUGGUGACAUUUACCAUCAUUGUCCGUCUUCCUUUUAAAAUCCAUCUGCACUCAACAGCCUUACGUCCAUCGAGUUGUUCUGCCAAAGUCUACACUUUGUUUUCAUACAUGGAUCCUCUCUCGGAUUUUAUGGCCUCGAGCCAUUUAUCGGAAUCCGGGCCCACCAUCUCUUCUCCAUAGCUCGUAGGUUCAUUGUUGUCUAGCAACAUGACUUCCAAGACAGGAUUACGUACCAUUCUGAAGUAGUACGCAUCCUUGUCAUCCUACGAGGUUUGGGAGUGACUUGAUCCGAAGUCUCAUGAUCAAUAUCAUAAGCUUCCACUUUAAUUGGUGUAGGUGCCACAGGAACAACUCCUGUGCCCUGCCACACACUAGUUGAAGAGACGGUUCAAUAACCUCAUCAUGUCUCCACCAUCUUCCCACUCAAUUCUUUCGAGAGAAACUUUUCCUCGAGAAAGGACCUGAUUCUAGAAACAAUCCCUUAUUGCUGUCGGAUCUGAGACAGGAGGUAUACCCAACUGUUUUGGGUGUCCUAUGAAGAUGCAUUUAUCCGCUUUGGGUUCGAGCUUAUCAGCCUGAAACUUUUCACAUAAGCGUCGCAGCCCCAAACUUUUAAGAAAUGACAGCUUAGGUUUCUCUAAACCAUAGUUCAUACGGUGUCAUCUCAUCGGAAUUACGUGGUGCCCUAUUUAAAGUGAAUGCGGUUGUCUCUAAUGCCUAACCCAUAAACUAUCGUGAUAAUUCGAUAAGAGACAUCAUGGUAUGCAUCAUAUCCAAUAGGGUGUUGUUAUGAUGUUCGGACACACCAUCACACUAUGGUGUUCCAGGCUGUAUUAGUUGUGAAACAAUUUCCACAAUGUCUUAAUUCUGUUCCAAACUCGUAAUUCAGAUAUUCAUCUCUAUGAUCAUAUCAUAGAUAUUUUAUCCUCUUGUCACGACGAUCUUUCAACUUCACCCUGAAAUUACUUGAACCUUUCAAUAAUUCAGACUCGUGAUUCAUCAAGUAAAUAUACUCAACAUCUACUCAAAUCAUCUGUGAAGUAAGAACAUAACGAUAUCCACUACACGCCUCAGCACUCAUUGGACUGCACACAUCAAAAUGUAUUACUUCCAACAAGUUGCUUUCUAGUUCCAUUUUACUGAAAACGAGGCUUUAAAGUCAUCUUGCCCAUGUGGUAUGAUUUGCAUGUCUCAAGUGAUUCAAAAUCAAGUGAGUCCAAACGAUCCAUCUUCAUGGAGUUUCUUCAUGCAUAUAUGCCAAUAGACAUGGUUUGCAUGUCUCAAUAUUUUUUUUUUCAAAAACAAGUGAGUCCAAAGAUCCAUCAACAUGGAGCUUCUUCAUGCGUUUUAUACCAAUAUGACUCAAGUGGCAGUGCCACAAGUAGGUGGUACUAUCAUUACUAUCUUAUAUCUUUUGGCAUGAACAUGUGUAUCACUAUGAUCGAGAUUCAAUGAACCAUUCAUUUUAGGUGCAAGACCAUUGAAGGUAUUAUUCAAAUAAACAGAGUAACCAUUAUUCUCCUUAAAUGAAUAACCGUAUCACGAUAGACAUAAUCCAACCAUGUCUAUGCUCAACGCAAACACCAAAUAACAAUUAUUUAGGUUUUAAUACCAAUCUCGAUGGUAGAGGGAGCGUGCGAUGCUUGAUCAUAUCAACCUUGGAAACACUUUCAACACAUAUCGUCAGCUCACCUUUAGCUAGUCUCCGUUUAUUCCGUAGCUUUUAUUUCGAGUUACUAACACUUAGCAACCGAACUGGUAUCUAAUACCCUAGUGCUACUAGGAGUACUAGUAACGUACACAUUAACAUAAUGUAUAUCCAAUAUACUUCUAUCGACAGUCUUCUCAUCUACCAAGUAUCUAGGGUAAUUCUGCUCCAGUGGCUGUUCCCCUUAUUACAGAAGCACUUAGUCUCGGGUUUGGGUUCAACCUUGGGUUUCUUCACUAGAGCAGCAACUGAUUUGCCGUUUCAUGAAGCAUCCCUUUUUUGCCCUUGCCCUCCUUGAAACUAGUGGUUUCACAAACCAUCAACAAUUGAUGCUCCUUCUUGAUUUCUACUUUUAUGGUGUCAAACAUCGCGAAUAUCUCAAGGAUCAUCAUAUAUGUCCCUGAUAUAUUAUAGUUCAUCAUGAAGCUCUAGCGGCUUGGUGGUAAUCACUUCGGAGAAACAUCACUAUCUCAUCUGGAAGAUCAACUCCCACUCGAUUCAAAUGAUUGUUGUACUCAGACAAUCUGAGCACAAGCUCAACAAUUGAGCUUUUCUCCCUUAGUUUGCAGGCUAAGAAAAAUCAUCGAAGGUCUUAUACCUCUUGACGUGGGCACGAGCCUGAAAUCCCAAUUUCAGCCCUCGAAACAUCUCAUAUGUUUCACGAUGUUUCAAAACGUCUUCGGUGCCUCAACUCUAAACCAUUUAGCAUUACGCACUGAACUAUCAUGUAGUCAUCAAAACGUGUAUGUCAGAUGUUCGCAACAUCCACAGACGACGUUCGAGGUUCAGCACACUGAGCGGUGCAUUAAGGACAUAAGCCUUCUACGAAGCAAUGAGGACAAUCCUCAGUUUACGGACCUAGUCCGCAUAAUUGCUACUAUCAUCUUUCAACUAAAUUUUCUCUAGGAACAUAACUAAACAGUAGAACUGAAGCGCGAGCUACGACAUAAUUUGCGAAGACCUUUUGACUAUGUUCAGGAUAAUUAAGUUCAUCUUGUGAACUCCCACUCAGAUAGACAUCCCUCUAGUCAUCUAAGUGAUUACAUGAUCCGAGUCAACUAGGCCGUGUCCGAUCAUCACGUGGGACGGACUAGUCAUCAUCGGUGAACAUCUUCAUGUUGAUCGUAUCUACCAUACGACUCAUGCUCGACCUUUCGGUCUCUUGUGUUCCGAGGCCAUGUCUGUACAUGCUAGGCUCAUCAAGUCAACCUAAGUGUUUCGCGUGUGUAAAUCUGUCUUACACCCAUUGUAUGUGAACGUUAGAAUCUAACACCCGAUCAUCACGUGGUGCUUCGAAACAACAAACUGUCGCAAUGGUGCACAGUUAGGGGGAACACUUUCUUGAAAUUUUAAUGAGGGAUCGUCUUAUUUACUACCGUCGUUCUAAGCAAAUAAGAUGUAUAAACAUGAUAAACAUCACAUGCAAUCAAAUAGUGACAUGAUAUGGCCAAUAUCAUAUUGCUCCUUUUGAUCUCCAUCUUCGGGGCUCCAUGAUCAUUAUCGUCACCGGCAUGACACCAUGAUCUCCAUCAUCGUGUCUUCAUGAAGUUGUCUCGCCAACUAUUACUUCUACUACUAUAGCUAACGGUUAGCAAUAAAGUAAAGUAAUUACAUGGCGUUGUUCAAUGACACGCAGGUCAUAUAAUAAAUAAAGACAACUCCUAUGGCUCCUGCCGGUUGUCAUACUCAUCGACAUGCAAGUCGUGAUUCCUAUUACAAGAACAUGAUCAUCUCAUACAUCACAUAUAUCAUUCAUCACAUCCUUUGGCCAUAUCACAUCACAUAGCAUACCCUGCAAAAACAAGUUAGAUGUCCUCUAAUUGUUGUUUGCAUGUUUUACGUGGCUGCUAUGGGUUUCUAGCAAGAAUGUUUCUUACCUACGCAAAACCACAAUGUGAUAUGCCAAUUGCUAUUUACCCUUCAUAAGGACCUUUUUCAUUGAAUCUGAUCCGACUAAAGUGGGAGAGACAGACACCCGCUAGCCACCUUAUGCAACUAGUGCAUGUCAGUUGGUGGAACCAGUCUCACGUAAGAGUUCGUGUAAGGUCGGUCCGGGCCGCUUCAUCCCACAAUACCGCCGAAUCAAGAUUGGACUAGUAACGGUAAGCAUAUUGAACAAAAUCAACGCCCACAACUACUUUGUGUUCUACUCGUGCAUAGAAACUACGCAUAGACCUAGCUCUGAUACCACUGUUGGGGAACGUAGCAUAAAUUCAAAAUUUUCCUACGUGUCACCAAGAUCUAUCUAUGGAGUCAUCUAGCAACGAGGGAGGAGUGGAUCUACAUACCCUUGUAGAUCGCGCGCGGAAGCGUUCAAGAGAACGGGGUUGAUGGAGUCGUACUCGUCGUGAUCCAAAUCAUCGAUGAUCCUAGCGCCGAACGGACGGCACCUCCGCGUUCAACACAUGUACGGAGCAGCAACGUCUCCUCCUUCUUGAUCCAGCAAGGGGGAAGGAGAAGUUGAUGGAGAUCCACAGCACGACGGCGUGGUGGUGGAAGUAGCGGGAUUCCAACAGGGCUUCGCCAAGCGCUGCGGGAGGAGGGAGAUGUGUCAUGGGAGGGAGAGGGAGGCGCCAGGGCUUAGGUAUGGUUGCCCUCCCUUCCCCCCACUAUAUAUAGGGCCAAGGGAGAGGGGGCGCAGCCUUGGCCCUUCCUCCAAGGAAGGGUGCGGCCAGGGAGGAGUCCAUCCUCCCCAAGGCACCUCGGAGGUGCCUUCCCCCUUUAGGACUCUUCCUUUCCUUAUCUCUUGGUGCAUGGGCCUCUUGGGGCUGGUGCCCUUUUCCCAUGCAGGCCAAGGCGCACACCCCUACAGCCCAUGUGGCCCCCGGGGUAGGUGGCCCCACCCGGUGGACCCCCGGGACCCUUCCGGUGGUCCCGGUACAAUACCGGUGACCCCGAAACUUGUCCCGAUGGCCAAAAUAGCACUUCCUAUAUAUAAUUCUUUACCUCCGGGCCAUUUCGUAACUCCUCGUGACGUCCGGGAUCUCAUCCGGGACUCCGAACAACUUUCAGGUUACCGCAUACUAAUAUCUCUAUAACCCUAGCGUCACCGAACCUUAAGUGUGUAGACCCUACGGAUUCGGGAGACAUGCAGACAUGACCGAGAUGACUCUCCGGUCAAUAACCAACAGCGGGAUCUGGAUAUCCAUGUUGGCUCCCACAUGUUCCACGAUGAUCUCAUCGGAUGAACCACGAUGUCAAGGACUUAAUCAAUCCCGUAUACAAUUCCCUUUGUCUAGCGGUACGAUACUUGCCCGAGAUUCGAUCGUCGGUAUCCCGAUACCUUGUUCAAUCUCGUUACCGGCAAGUCUCUUUACUCGUUUCAUAACACAUCAUCCCGUGAUCAACUCCUUGAUCACAUUGUGCACAUUAUGAUGAUGUCCUACCGAUUGGGCCCAGAGAUACCUCUCCGUCACACGGAGUGACAAAUCCCAGUCUCGAUUUGUGCCAACCCAACAGACACUUUCGGAGAUACCUGUAGUGUACCUUUAUAGCCACCUAGUUACGUUGUGACGUUUGGCACACCCAAAGCACUCCUACGGUAUCCGGGAGUUGCACAAUCUCAUGGUCUAAGGAAAUGAUACUUGACAUUAGAAAAGCUUUAGUAUACGAACUACAUGAUCUUGUGCUAGGCUUAGGAUUGGGUCUUUGUCCAUCACAUCAUUCUCCUAAUGAUGUGAUCCCAUUAUCAAUGACAUCCAAUGUCCAUGGUCAGGAAACCGUAACCAUCUAUUGAUCAACGAGCUAGUCAACUAGAGGCUUACUAGGGACAUGGUGUUGUCUAUGUAUCCACACAUGUAUUUGAGUUUCCUAUCAAUACAAUUCUAGCAUGGAUAAUAAACGUUUAUCAUGAACAAGGAAAUAUAAUAAUAACUAAUUUAUUAUUGCCUCUAGGGCAUAUUUCCAACACCUGUGUCAGCCAAAGAUCAAUCAAAGACUACUUUUACAUGCCCUUUUGGUAGUUUUGCUUAUAGAUGUAUGCCUUUUGGUUUAUGUAAUGCACCUACUACCUUUCAAAGAUGCAUGAUGGCUAUAUUCCCUGACUUUUGUGAAAAGAUUUGUGAGGUUUUCAUGGAUGACUUUUCCGUCUAUGGAUCUUCUUUUGAUGAUUGCUUGAGCAACCUUGAUCGAGUUUUGCAGAGAUGUGAAGAAACUAAUCUUGUCCUGAAUUGGGAAAAGUGCCACUUUAUGGUUAAUGAAGGUAUUGUCUUGGGGCAUAAAAUUUCUGAAAGAGGUACUGAAGUUGAUAAAGCCAAGGUUGAUGCUAUUGAAAAGAUGCCAUGUCCCAAGGACAUCAAAGAUAUAAGAAGUUUCCUUGGUCAUGCCAGUUUUUAUAGGAGGUUCAUUAAGGACUUCUCAAAAAUCUCUCGGCCUCUGACUAAUUUAUUACAAAAAGAUAUACCAUUUGCCUUUGAUGAUGAUUGUGUAGAAGCAUUUGAAAUGCUUAAGAAAGCAUUGAUCUCUACACCUAUUGUUCAGCCACCUGAUUGGAAUUUACCCUUUGAAAUUAUGUGUGAUGCUAGUGAUUAUGCUGUAGGUGUUGUUCUAGGACAAAGAAUUGAUAAGAAAAUAAAUGUUAUCCAAUAUGAUAGUAAAACGACAAUGCUCAAAGAAAUUAUGCUACUACUGAAAAAGAAUUCUUAGCAGUUGUAUUUGCAUGUGAUAAGUUUAGACCUUAUAUUGUUGAUUCUAAAGUAACUAUUCACACUGAUCAUGCUGCUAUUAAAUAUCUUAUGGAAAAGAAAGAUGCUAAACCUAGACUUAUUAGAUGGGUUCUCUUGCUACAAGAAUUUGAUUUGCAUAUUGUUGAUAGAAAAAGAGCUGAGAACCCCGUUGCAGACAACUUGUCUAGGUUAGAAAAUGUGCUUGAUGACCCACUACCUAUUGAUGAUAGCUUUCCUGAUGAGCAAUUAAAUGUCAUAAAUGCUUAUCAUACUGCUCCAUGGUAUGCUGAUUAUGCUAAUUAUAUUGUUGCUAAGUUUAUACCACCUAGUUUCACAUACCAGCAAAAGAAAAAGUUCUUCUAUGAUUUGAGACAUUACUUUUGGGAUGACCCACAUCUUUAUAAAGAAGGAGUAGAUGGUGUUAUUAGACGUUGUGUACCUGAGCAUGAACAGGAACAGAUCCUACGCAAGUGUCACUCCGAAGCUUAUGGAGGACACCAUGCUAGAGAUAGAACUGCACAUAAGGUACUACAAUCUGGUUUUUAUUGGCCUACUCUCUUCAAGGAUGCCCGUAAGUUUGUCUUAUCUUGUGAUGAAUUUCAAAGAAUUUGUAAUAUUAGUAGACGUCAAGAAAUGCCUAUGAAUUAUUCACUCAUUAUUGAACCAUUUGAUAUUUGGGGCUUUGACUAUAUGGGACCGUUUCCUUCCUAAGUGGGUAGAAGCUAUUCCAACUAGUAGUGUUGAUCAUAACACUUCUAUUAAAAUGCUUAAAGAAGUUAUCUUUCCAAGGUUUGGAGUCCCUAGAUAUUUAAUGACUGAUGGUGGUUCACAUUUUAUUCAUGGUGCUUUCCAUAAAAUGCUUGCUAAAUAUGAUGUUAAUCAUAGAAUUGCAUCCCCUUAUCACCCUCAGUCUAGUGGUCAAGUAGAAUUGAGUAAUAGAGAACUCAAAUUAAUUUUGCAAAAGACUGUUAAUAGGUCCAGAAAGAAUUGGUCCAAGAAACUUGAUGAUGCGUUAUGGGCCUAUAGAACUGCAUAUAAAAAUCCUAUGGGUAUGUCUCCGUAUAAAAUGGUCUAUGGAAAAGCAUGUCACUUACCUCUCGAACUAGAACACAAGGCUUAUUGGGCUAUUAAAGAACUAAAUUAUGAUUUUAAACUUGCCGGUGAGAAGAGGUUAUUUGAUAUUAACUCACUUGAUGAAUGGAGAACCCAAGCCUACGAAAAUGCCAAGUUGUUUAAAGAGAAAGUCAAAAGGUGGCAUGAUAAAAGAAUACAAAAGCAUGAGUUCAAUGUAGGUGAUUAUGUAUUGCUAUACAACUCUCGUUUAAGAUUUUUUGCAGGAAAACUUCUCUCUAAAUGGGGAGGUCCCUACAUUAUCGAGGAGGUCUACCGUUCCGGUGCCAUAAAAAUCAACAACUUCGAAGGUACAAAUCCGAAGGUGGUAAAUGGUCAAAGAAUCAAACAUUAUAUCUCAGGUAAUCCCAUAAAUGUUGAAACCAAUAUUAUUGAAACCGUAACCCCAGAGGAAUACAUAAGGGACACUUUCCAGAACGUUCCAGACUCCGAAAAGGAAUAGGUAUGUGGUACGGUAAGUAAACCAACUCCAAAACAGUUUUUAAGGAAAUAAUUCUCCGUUUUGGAAUAUUUAAAAAAAUAGAAAAAUAAGCAGCAGUCCGGAAAGGACACGAGGGCUCCACGAGGGUGGAGGGCGCGCCCUACCCCCCUGGGCGCGCCCCCUACCUCAUGGGCACCUCAUGUGCUCUCCGGACUCCGUUUCCUUACAGGACACGUAUUUUGGUCGUAAAAAUUCAUUAUAUAACCUCCCGGGGGUUUUAACUCCCGUAUCACGCAAAUAUCUCUUGUCGUUGUUUUGAGUUGUCCUGCUGCGGACAGAGCAACAUGUCGUCCUAGGAUUCGCAAGGAGAAAGCUACGUGGCUGAUUACCAUGCAGAUCCUAAGGUUUAUGGGGAUGUGGAGCAUUGCGGUUGGACUACGGAAGAAGAAGAGGACUAUGAAUCCAAGGGAAAGGAGGAGACGAGCUCAGAUGAAGAUGAAGUCCCACUACCUCAACCUGGGGACAUGCAUGUGGAGUUCAAAAAGUCAAGCCUCCCGGAUAGGGUAAAGAAACCUAAGAUCGAGUUUAUCCCUUUUCGCCUCUUGCAGGAGAACAAACAGGAACUAUGCAAAAAGAUACUGAGCUUGGAGCAGGAGAUCGAGGACCUAAGGGACCAAAAUUCUGUCCUCAAGCGCAAAUUAAGGAAGAAGCCUACGCCAUCAACAAAAUCACUACCGUCUCCUCCAACAAAGAAGAAUUGAGUAUCUGGUAUGGGCACUCCACUUGGCAACUCCCAAGCUUGGGGGAGUGCCCCGGUAUUGUAUCACCAUCACUUUUAUCUUUACCGUUUUUCUUAGUUUGAUCCUUUUGGUAAUAUCUUUAUCUAGUAGAAUAAAAGUUCGUAGUAUGAUCUAGUUGUGAGUUUUGCUUUAUUAUCCUUCUAUGUAAUCGAGUCCGUGAGCUAUAUAAUAAAGAUUAGUGUUGAGUCAAGGGCUUGAUUAUUUUGCCAUGAUCCUAAGUGAAUAAAAGAAAAGAGAAAGAAACAAAAAGAAACAAAGAGAUCAUGUGACUCUUAUGGAGAGUAAUGAGCUCACAUAGAAAGAGUAUGAUGAAUAAAAGUUAUUGAGGGUUGACAAACAUAGUUUUGGUCAUUGUUGCAAUUAAUAGGAAGUAAUAAAGAAAGAGAGGUCUUCACAUAUAAAUAUACUAUCUUGGACAUCUUUUAUGAUUGUGAGCACUCAUUAAAAUAUGACAUGCUAAAGAGUUGACAUUGGACAAGGAAGACAACAUAAUGGGUUAUGUUUUCUUACAUCUGAGAUAAAUUAUAUUGUCUUGGAUCCUCCAACAUGUUGAGCUUGCCUUUCUCCCUCAUGCUAGCCAACUCAUUGCACCAAGUAGAGAUACCCAAAUACCCUUAAACCAGUUUUGCCAUGAGAGUCCACCAUAACUACCUAUGGAUUGAGUAAGAUCCAUCAAGUAAGUUGUCAUCAGUGCAAGCAAUAAAAAUAUUGCUCUCUAAAUAUGUAUGAUUGAUUGGUGUGGUAGAAAUAAGCUUUAUACAAUCGUCUGAUAUGGAAGUAAUAAAAGCGACAAACUGCAUAAUAAAGGUCCAUAUCACAAGUGGCAAUAUAAAGUGACGUUCUUUCGCAUUAGGAUUUUGUGCAUCCAACCAUAAAAGCGCAUGACAACCUCUGCUUCCCUCUGCGAAGGGCCUAUCUUUUACUUUUAUCUCCUAAAUUGCAUAAGAGUCAUGGUGAUAUUCACCCUUCCUUUUUACAUUUUAUCCUUUGGCAAGCACAAUAUGUUGAAAAGAUCCCGGUAUAUAUGGCUAAUUGGAUGUGAGUUUUCAUGAACUAUUACUGUUGACAUUAACCUUGAGGUAAAACGUUGGGAGGCAAAACUAUAAGCCCCUAUCUUUCUAUGUGUCCGAUUAAAACUCCAUACCCAUAAGUAUUGCAUGAGUUUCAGCAAUUGUGAAAGACUAUAUGAUAGUUGAGUAUGUGGACUUGCUGAAAAGCUCUUAUACAUCGACUCUUUCUUAUGUUAUGAUAAAUUGCAAUUGCCUCAAUGACUGAGAUUAUAGUUUGUUAGUUUUCAAUGAAGUUUACGAUUCAUACUUGAUAUUGUGAUUGAAUUAUUACUCUAGCAUAAGAUAUCAUAUGACAAGAAUUAUAUAAGUUGUUGUUCUAAGAAUGAUCAUGAUGCCCUCAUGUCCGUAUUUUAUUUUUAUCGACACCUUCAUCUCUAAACAUGUGGACAUAUUUUUCAAUUUCGGCUUUUCGCUUGAGGACAAGCGAGGUCUAAGCUUAGGGGGAGUUGAUACGUCCAUUUUGCAUCAUGCUUUUAUAUCAAUAUUUAUUGCAUUAUGGGUUGUUAUUACACAUUAUGUCACAAUACUUAUGCCUAUUCUCUCUUCUUUUACAAGGUUUACAUAAAGAGGGAGAAUGCCGGCAGCUGGGAUUCUGGCUGGAAAAGGAGCAAAUAUUAGAGACCUAUUCUGCAUAGCUCCAAAAGUCCUGAAACUUCACGGAUGAUGUUUUCCAAAUAUAUAAAAAACAUUGAGCGCAAGAACUUCAUGAGGGGGGGCACACCCCGCCCACGAGGGUGGGGGGCGCGCCCUACCCCCUGGGCGUGCCCCCUACCUCGUGGGCCCCCUGGUGGCCCUCCGGUGACCAUCUUCUGCUAUAUGGACUCUUUCGAUGGGAAAAAAUCAUAAGCCAUCUUCUCGGACGAAACUCCGCCGCCACGAGGCGGAACCUUGGCGGAGCCAAUCUAGGGUUCUGGCGGGGCUGUUCUGCCGAGGAAACUUCCCUCCCGGAGGGGGAAAUCAUCGCCAUCGUCAUCACCAACGCUCCUCUCAUCGGGAGAGGGCAAUCUCCAUCAACAUCUUCAUCAGCACCAUCUCAUCUCAAAACCCUAUCUCUUGUAUCCAAUUCUUGUCUCCAAGUCCGGGAUUGGUGCUAGUAGGUUGCUAGUAGUGUUAAUUACUCCUUGUAGUUGAUGCUAGUUGGUUUAAUUGGUGGAAGAUUAUAUGUUCAGAUCCUAUAUGCACAUUAAUACCCCUCUGAUUAUGAACAUGUUUAUGCUUUGUGAGUAGUUACUUUUGUUCCUGAGGACAUGGGAGAAGUCUUGCUAUUAGUAGUCAUGUGAAUUUGGUAUUCGUUCGAUAUUUUGAUGAGAUGUAUGUUGUCUCUCCUCUAGUGGUGUUAUGUGAACGUCGACUACAUGACACUUCACCAUUGUUUGGGCCUAGAGGAAAGCAUUGGGAAGUGAUAAGUAGAUGAUGGGUUGCUAGAGUGACAGAAGCUUAAUUAAACCCUAGUUUAUGCGUUGCUUCGUAAGGGGAUGAUUUGGAUCCGUAUGUUUCAUGCUAUGGUUAGGUUUACCUUAAUACUUUUGUUGUAUUUGCGGAUGCUUGCAAUAGAGGUUAAUCAUAAGUGGGAUGCUUGUCCAAGUAAGGGCAGCACCCAAGCACCGGUCCACCCACAUACCAAAUUAUCAAAGUACCGAACGCGAAUCAUAUGAGCGUGAUGAAAACUAGCUUGACGAUAUUCCCAUGUGUCCUCGGGAGCGCUUUACAUCGUAUAAGAGUUUGUCCAGGCUUGUCCUUUGCUACAAAAAGGAUUGGGCCACCUUGCUGCACCUUAUUUACUUUUGUUACUUGUUGCUCGUUACAAUUAUUUUAUUCCAAAACUAUCUGUUACCACUUAUUUCAGUAUUUGCAGAGAAUACCUUGCUGGAAACCGCUUAUCAUUUCCUUCUGCUCCUCGUUGGGUUUGACACUCUUACUUAUCGAAAGGACUACGAUAGAUCCCCUAUACUUGUGGGUCAUCAAUAGCCAGCUCAUAUUCUUCAUCACGCGCGACUGAUGAACAUGAAGACAUGGACGCACUACGACAGGCCCUACCUCAACAACCAACCCCAACAAUUCUGGCACUCCUUCAUUGACUCGGUGAUGAUAUUCUUUAGGGGCGUUAGUCCUCAUUUUUCGCCCCUUUUGGUCAUUCGAUGACAAAGGGGGAGAAAUUUGAGUUAGUCUUCAAGCGGGUCUACUUAUAUGGGUGUUGCUUCUAAGUUACAACUCUCGUUCUUUUGAAGACUUUGCUGGAUCAAGUUGUAAACUUAAAACCGAUGGUGGUCUGAUACUUUUGUUGUGUUCUUCUGCAUGCUUAUUCCUCAUAUAUGUUAAUGCACGCAUGCUGAAUUACAUCAGUCACCAUAUUUCAUCAUGCAUUUCAAAUUCUUCAUAUUAUAUGUUAAAUGCGUGUAUGAAUUACAAGAUAUAGGGGGAUAUCUCCAUGAUUCUACUCUUCAAGUGUGCAUUGCUUCAAAAGCUAAUUCCUCACUAUGCACAUCUUCAGGGGGCGUUCUUCUAUAUAUCUUGCAAUCAAAUUCCUCAAUAUUAGUAUUUACACUUCAUAUGUUUAUACCCAUUGAAAACUUAACCUAUAUUGUCAUCAAUCACAAAAAAGGGGGAGAUUGUAAGUGCAUCUAGUACCCCUUAGUGAUUUUGGUGUAUUAAAGACUUAUAGGUUAAGGGACUGAUAUGUUUGUGAGUGUACACAGGUCUAUAAGUCUAUGAGGAGUUUGAUAUUUACAGAGAGAGUCGACCCCUAAAAAUGAAGUUCUUCAACUAAAGACUUUGGAUUUCUGAAGACUUUUUGAAGACUUUGAAAGUGAAGAAAUUGGUGUGACCGUGAAGACUUGGUAUUCAUUUGAGGAACAUGAAGCGUUAAGACUUUUGUUUUCGUAGUUUCAUUUUCUCCUUCUUGACUCAUAGGAAACACCGUACUGUUAAAGGGGGUCGAGGAAAUAGUAAGGAAAAGUUUCCAAGUGAUGCUCAACUCAAAAUCCUACACCUACCAAUUCCUUAGAAUGAAGCCAUUGGAAAUCUCAUGCGGUUCAGUCAAAUUUCUUCAGUGGACGAGACGAAUUUCUUCUGGUCUCUGAGAAAUUUGUUCUGACUGAGGAGUUAGGAAUUCGCCAGUGCGGAUUGCCUACAAGUGAGGAACAUGAUAGCCUUGAGGAAUUUGAUAGUCAAAUUUCCGACCAUUGUUGUGCUACGCGCCAGCUGUCCCAAAAUAUCUUCCCACCUAACGGUCAUAUCAUUGAAGGGCAUUUAUGUCUUAUUAUGUUGGGCUGCUCCCUAGGCUAUAAAUAGCCGCCCCUACAACCACUAGCUGGUUGGCUGCUCCGAGAGAAACUGACACUUGUCAUUUGAGAGCAUCCCAUCCUCCGAGGACUUUGAGCGAAAAUCAUCAAGUGAGAAAAACCCAAACCCAAACACCUACUAACCCAAAGUGAUUGAGCAUCACUAAAGAGAUUGAUCCUACGUGGAUCUGACGCUUGUUACCUUUGAAGACUGUGCAUCUUCCAGAUGGUUAGGCGUCAUGGUCUAGAGCAUCCAAGAGGAAAUUGUGGAUCGCCAAGUGACUGAGUUUGUGAAGGUUUGGAAGUCACCUGAAGACUUACCACGAGUGAUUAUGCGAGGUCUGUGUGACCUUAGCUCAAGGGGAAUACGGUGAGGACUAAGUGUCCUGAACUGCGUGUUCAGGACUGGGUGUCCGGGACUGGGUGUCCUUAGGUUUGAAUACCUAGCCACCCUAACCAGACAUACAACUGUCACAACAGUUGGAACUGGUCUACCAAAUCAUUGUCUUUACCGAGCUAACUGGUUCUAUUUCCUCAACCCUUCCAUUUCCUCAUUUCUGUGUUGUGUGCUUGUUCAUAUCUGUUCGAAGACUUUGACUGAAGACUUUCUCAAAUUUCCUCAGUUCAAUUUCUUCAGUCUGUUUGUCUUCAUCAUGUUUUAUCCUGUGUUUACGCUUUCUGUACUCUGUGCUUGUUUUCAUUUCAUUAUGAUGACCAUGCUUAUGUUCUGUUAUGUUUGCAUCUGAGUACUUAUUUUGCUGCAAGUAGUUCUCCGCUUAGGAAUUUCCUCACCCUGAAAUUUCUCAGUGAAGAAUUCAUAAAAAUCGCCUGUUCACCCCCUCCCCUCUAGUCGACUUAACGCACUUCCAGUUAUUCCCUACUAGGCCACGCCUCUUGUAUGGGCCAGGUCUUCUUUGGCGAUGUAUCUACUUGUUUUAAUGAACUCGCAUGAGACUCUCUGCAUGGUUGAAAAAAAGGGAAAACCAAUGAACAAACCUUACCUUUUUUAAACGUUGAACAAAUCAGACUUGCCUUCACACAUACGUUGUCAGCAAAUGUGGUGGUUCAGAGAGAGAGAGAGGAGGGGGGAGAGAUAUGGUCCUUGUAGGGCAGAAAGCCAAGGGCAAGGACAUAAAUUGUAGCAAAUCUAAAUACAAAAGUCACCUUUAACCUGAUAUUUUCUUCCCACAUUUUUUAUACAUUUUCUCCUUUUUUUUAUCAUUUUGUACAUCUUAUACAAUUGUUCUGCAUAUUUUACAUUAAAAACUCAAUUAAUAAAGUAGGGCAAUGCCCCACUGUUUGCCCCUAAAAGGGGGGAAUAAUUCUCAUGUGGUGGGCCACGACCCACUGUAAGAUGCAGCCUACCACACAAGGCCAGACAACUCACAAAAUCACUAAUUAAGGAGUACUCUUUCCAAAGAUCAUUCCCACCUCCUUAGGUUGUGACAAGUGGCAUGCUUCAUGUGCGUCACUUUUCGCAACUUGGGAGUUUUCUUAUUUUUCGUACAUAUGUUUAUUCAAGACGUUUUAUCUCUUAAAUCGUGCGUCUAAAUCUCGAACCAUUUUCACUGUUGGAUUCCUCGCAUCGAGAUUUUCAAAACUAGAUAUCAUGUUGAUAGGUUUUGAGAAACUUUUUUCUGAAAAAAUUAAACGAAAAAACCGAACCUAGAGCACUUCUUUUCCUUUUCGAAAGCCGUUUCCAAGAGGCACAGUCGUGCCUCUUGCGGAAAAAGAAAAAGAGAAAACACGUUUUUUCCUGUUUCCGAGAGGCACGACCGUGCCUCUUGCGGAAUGAAAUACGUGUCUCUCACGAAAAAAAGAGAACGUGUUUUUCACAUUUCUAAGAGGCACGGCCGUGCCUCUCACUGACAAAAAAAAGAAAACGUGUUUUUAUCAUUUCCGAGAGGCACGUCGCGGAAGCAAAACCGCGCCUCUCACAAGAAAAAAAAAUAAAAAUGUGUUUUUUUGUUUCCGAGAGACACGGCCGUGCCUCUCGCGGAACCAACACCAUAACUCUCGUGGAAGCAAAACCGUGCAUCUUAAGAAAGCAAAAAACAUGUUUUUCAUGCAAAAAUUCAAAUAUUUUUGUCAAAAAGCUUAGAACGACCACUGGAAAGCCGAAAAAGUUAGAAAAACAAAAAAAAUCAUCUAAAAAACUGAAAACACGUGUGGCAAAAUAAAAAAACAGAGAGAGCAUCCAGGGUGCUCGUCAACUCGUCCUCCACAACUCACACACCUGGGCCAUUGACGGGCAUUUCCCGUUAACAUGCAUUUUUGUUAAUUGGCGCCGAAGGCACUCGAAUCUGGGCCGGCCCUUUUUAUUUGGGCAACGCUAGGCGCCGGCGCACCGGCCGAAAGUUUCGGCCGGUCCCGCCCCAGUCGUUUGAUCCGAGUCGCUUGGCCAAUGGAUCUGGGAAAAAAUGAUUCGCUCAUGUUUUCUUCUUCCUCGGGCUAGAUCUGCAACUCCCACUCAGGAUCCUCGUCGCCGUGCCUGUAGUCCCCUCCGGUGGUCGUCCUCGUCGCCGGCCGUCCUUGUGGUCGGUCCCCACCCUCGCCGGCCGUCCUCGUGGUCAGUCCCCACCCUCGCCGUCCGUUCUCGCCGUUGAAUAUGGAUGUAGUCAAAAACUACCUCAAUCCAUGCAACAGCUACGCCUGCGGUUGCAGCUCCACCGGCGACGGUUAUAGCUCUCUCCGGUUGUAGCUCCAUCGCGCCCCUCGCCGCUCGCUGCACGGGAUUGCGUCGGCGACGACCACCAGUCAGUCAACGCCAUUGAAUGGAUCUAGCAAAAAACUUCACUGGUAGUAGCAAAAAAACUAUGGAUGCAGCAAAAAUCAAACACCGUCGCCGUCUUCGCGAAGUCGCAACUCUGCCUUACAUGGAUGUAGCAAAAACCUUCAGCGGUAGUAGCAAAAAUCUACCACGGUUGUAGCAAAAAUUAGGGUUGUAGCAAAAACUUCACCAGUCAGUCAACGUCAUUGAAUGGUUGAAGCUUUUCAAAAUUAGGAUUGAAGCUUUUCAUGUCAACGGUUGUUGCUUUUUGUGCUUUUCAUAAUGUGGGAUGAAGCUUUUCAAUUCAGCUGUUGAAUCUUCCCAAUUCAGUGGAUGCAACAUUUUUGUGCUUCGAGUGCCCCAGCAACCAGCUUCUCCGUAUUUUCAGUUGAAGCUUUCCUGAUGCCGAUUGUAGCUUUCCAGGCCACCGGUUGCAGCUUAUGUUGUGGUAGUGCGCUGGCAACCAACAUCAUUAUCUGUCUUUUGAAAUUUUUGGUGUUGGCGGUUGAAGCUAUCUUGGCCACCGGUUGUAGCAUUAUGCGCUGUCGGAUGCAGCUUCUCUUGUGCGCAGUCAUGGGACGACGGUGCGGCCAUGGCGAAGAGCUCAGCCAUGGCGACGAGCGCGGCCAUGGAAUGGCAGCGUCGCCCCUCGGAGCACACGAACAGCACCGGAGGCCCGAGCGUUCCGCCGGCACACCGCGCGCAAAUAUUUCCCUUUUUAUUUCUAUAAACUUGCAAAACAGUAAAUGAUAGGCUUCGAACCUGCAAUCUCUUAGUUGGAAAGGAAGCCUGCUAACCACAACGACAUAUUACCAGCUGUGAUAGAGUUGCUUUUUUUACUCUUUAUUAGUAAGAUUUUUUUUUCUAGACGUUUUUGUUCCUAAUAUCUUUUUCUUUCUUUUCCCUAUUUUUCUUUUUUUCUUCAAUGCACAGAUUCUUUUUAAAUUAAUGAUUUUUUUCCAAAAUUGAUGAACCUUUUCUAAAAUCUAUGAACUUUUAUUCAAAUUCAUGAAAUUUUUCCAAUUUCGAGGACUUUUUUUCAAAUUGAUGAAGUUUUUCAGAUUUGUAAAUGUUUUGAAUAAAUUCGUUGAACUUUUUUCAAAUUCGACAGACUAUUAUUAAAAUAUGAUGAAUUUUUUUAAAAUUUCAAUGAACUUUUUUCAAAAUUGAUGAUUUUUUUCCAGAUUUGUAAUCUCCUUAGUAAAAUAGAUGAACUUUUUCAAAUUCGGUGAACUAAUUUUCAAGUCUGAUGAAUUUUGUUUUUAAAUUCUAUGAAAAAGAUUCAAAAUCGAUGAGCUUUUUUUUCAAAUCGAUGAAAUGUUUUUAAAAUUUGAUGACUUUUUUCAACUCGGUUUUAAAUAAAAAUUGUUGAACAUUUUUAAAAAAAUCUGAUGAACAUUUUUUCAAAUCAAUGAACCGUUUUUAAAAUGAAUGAACUUUUUCUUCAAAUGGAUGAAGUUUUUUUUUGAAAUUUAUGAACAUUUUAAAUAUUUAUGAACUUUUUUUCAGUUUCCAAACUUGUUUUCAAAUAAAUACUGAUCAAAUAGUUACAUUUUUCCUCCUAGUAGAACAACCAAGUGAGCUUGGUCCAGUGGUUGUUGUGCUAUUUGUUGAGAUAGGCGUCCCUAGCUGGAAUCCCAUUUCUUCCAUGGAACGAUUAGACUUGCUUUUUUUUCUUUGAUAGGGGCAUGUUGCUGGGCCGAACCGGUACACAUCGCAUUCGAGCGCCACCAACCUUAACCGGCGCUUAAAGCACCCAAUAGGAGCGUCCCCCAUUGACGUUACCCCGCAGCCCUUUCAUGUUCCUCUUUUCUUUUUCCACAUUAUUAGAUAACUUAGAGGGAAAAAGGAACUUAGAGAAUAAUCCUAAAAAACAGAGAUUAUAGAAUAUAUUUUACUAUUAAAAUGGGAGAAUAUAUGUGCUAAUUAUUAAAAAAUCCCUCAAGAAAAGAAGAAUAAUAGAUAUUUUUUCUCAAUAUCCUUUUGUUAGAUUUGUUGAGAAUUUGAUGUUUAGACUUUCAACUCCUAUCUAGUUUAGGAUUAUAUAAUGAUUAUUAAGCUUCAACAUAGUGGGUUUCAAAAAAGUUUUGUAGGAUAUUGUAUAAGUUGUAGUAAUCUUUUUCCUUUAUUAGCUACCUAAAUGUAUGUGUCAGUGAGCAUAUAUUGAAGUUUUUGUGGUGAAUGGUCUAUUGUUAUGUCAGUGAAUGGGAUCAGAAAAUGAGAAGCUCUCCCCUCAAAAAAAAGAAGAAAAAAAGAAGUUUUUCGAUGGUAUUUGCAUGCCUCAAUUUUGUAAGGCCGAAUCAUGAGACAUUUUUGCGAUGUAGAAGCGCCCUGGCCCGUGGUCUUGGUGACAUUGUGAAGACAUCUUCAAUGGUAUCCUGAAGCAUAUAUAGCGGUGGCAUCCCGUCGUCCAUCAUCUCUCCGGCAUCCUCUUUGUCGAACGUGCGUCUCGCUCGCCGCCUCAUGGCCUGCGACUUCGGGACACCCUUGUCGUGGGUCACGAUUGCUAUCGCAUGCGACGGGGAACUACAAGGCGGGGCAUGUAGUCCCUGUUGUUUCUUCAUAAACAGAAGCUCGUGCUUCCUCUGAUUUUUGGUGCGUCUGGUUCGCUGCUGCAGAACACGCUUUCUGAUUCAAACAAUAUCUAUCUAGUUAAAGAUGCACGAUCCACGUGUAAAAUGGGGCCGGUCUGCUCGCUUAAGUGCAUGCAUUGUUCCAUGGCGACCUGCUCUUACAUUUCAUCUGAAUUUCAUUGGGUCUUUUAGAUCAUGUCAAAUUCGACAAAGACAAGUUUGGAGCCUUUUCCUACUAAUUAUGCCACACUACACUUUGCCUGGAGUAGCAUUCCCCAUUUAUGUACAACUUUAGCUAUAUGUAAGUCGCUUGCAAAUAGAUUUUUGGUCAGUCGGUUUUUUUGGCCGAUGAUUUUCUGCUUUCAGAUCCGAGCUACUUUUUUCUUGGUCUAUUUUCUGAGCAGUUUUGGGCUGUUUUUUUACUGAUCACAUAUUUGGGUUGGUUGAUUUGCUACUAGGUCGACGCCCAUUACANNNNNNNNNNNNNNNNNNNNNNNNNNNNNNNNNNNNNNNNNNNNNNNNNNNNNNNNNNNNNNNNNNNNNNNNNNNNNNNNNNNNNNNNNNNNNNNNNNNNNNNNNNNNNNNNNNNNNNNNNNNNNNNNNNNNNNNNNNNNNNNNNNNNNNNNNNNNNNNNNNNNNNNNNNNNNNNNNNNNNNNNNNNNNNNNNNNNNNNNNNNNNNNNNNNNNNNNNNNNNNNNNNNNNNNNNNNNNNNNNNNNNNNNNNNNNNNNNNNNNNNNNNNNNNNNNNNNNNNNNNNNNNNNNNNNNNNNNNNNNNNNNNNNNNNNNNNNNNNNNNNNNNNNNNNNNNNNNNNNNNNNNNNNNNNNNNNNNNNNNNNNNNNNNNNNNNNNNNNNNNNNNNNNNNNNNAGUUUCUUUCCUUUGUGGGUAUUUUUGGGAUGUUGGGUGAGUGUAAAUGUAAACACACAAAUACUAUACAAUAUGUGCAAAAACCUACACUAUUAUAUGAUUGUUGUUUGCAUACUAAGAAAGUGCAAUUUUAGUGUAAAGUUGUGUGCCAGUUUGUUUAACCCUUUUUCAUUAUCUUUCUUCUUAAAGAGUAAUAAAAAUGUCAUUAAUUCAUUGUUGCAAAUAAAAUUUCAUUCUUUUGACUUUGAUUUAGUUAUUGUUUUAUUUUCUUUCUUCUUUAAGGGUAAUGCCAACACCACUAAUUCAUUCACUCUUAGAAACUUUUUUGUUGCGAUAAUUUCACUAUUACUCCCUCCGUCCCAUAUUAAGUAUCACUCAAACGGAUGUAUCCAGGCGUUUUUUAGUGCUAGAUACAUCCGUUUGAGCGACACUUAAUAUGGACGGAGGGGCUAUAUGCUUAUCCUUGCAUAUAAAAAAGGGGUAUUUUGGUGUAUAUUGUGUGCGAAUUUUGUCAUUGUUUGUAUUUUUUUUCAUUUUAUUUCUUCUUAAAGGGUUAUAUCAAUGCCACUAUUUGCUUCUUCCAUCGUAAACCUCAUUCUUUUGACUAUGUUUGAGUUCUUAUUUUGUUUGCUUUCUUCUUAAAAGAUAAUACUAAAUCCAUUAAUUCAUUUUUUUCUUAUAAAACUUCCUUAUUCUAUCUUUUGUAUUUAUUUAAUUUUCAUUCUUAGUUAACGGUAAUAUCAAUGUUAGAAAUUUAUUCCUUCUUAGGAAACUUCCAUUUUUUUGCGAAAAAAUCACUAUUAUAUUCAUAUUAUUGAAAACCCACAAUUUUUCUAUGUAAAUUGUGUGAGAAUUUUGUUUUUAUGUUUUUCAUUUGAUUUCUUCUUAAAAGGUACUCCCUCCGUCCGCAAAUAAGUGUACUUCUACCUUUUGUUCUAAGUCAAAGUUUUAAAAUUUUGACCAACUUUAUGGAAAAAAUUAGUAACAUAUAUGACAUCAAAUUGGUAUAUUAUGAAACUACAUUUCAUAAUGAAUCUAGUGAUCCUAAUUUAGUGCCAUACAUGCUGCUACUUUUCCCUAUAAAGUUGGUCAAAGUUUUAAAAUUUUGACUUAAGACAAAAACUAGAUGUACACUUAUUCGCGGACAGAGGGAGUAAUAGCAAUGCCACUAAUUCAUUCUUCCUUAAAAAAACUUCAUUAAUUCGAUCUUGUUUGAGUUUCUAUUUUAUUUCUUUCUUCUUUAAGGGUAAUUCCAAUGCCACUAAUUCAUUCCUUCUUACAAUUGUUUUUGCAAAAAAGUCACUAUUACAUGCUUAUUCUAGUAUAUAAUUAAAAAUCACAAUUUUUGUGUAAAUUGUAUGCAAAAUUUGUCAUUGUUUCUUUUAGUUUUUUUUAUUUUAUUUCUUCUUAGAGUGUAAUACUAAUGCCACUAUUUUUUUUAGAAAAUUCCAUUAUUUUGCUUUAUUUUUAAUUUUUAUUUCAUUUUUUUUCGUGUGUUAGACAGAUACAAGUACCAGAUUCAUGCACUGGACAGGAAGGGCAUGCAUGCAUGUGCGAGGGCUCGGCGAAGUGGGAUUGAACAAUGAGCAUGCAUACACUAGGUAGCAAUAUACCAGUCAGCCGACCGGCAGCACAUACAUACGAGAGUGGAGCCUAGCUAGCAGACAUGCCAAUGCAGAAAAAAAUGUGACUGACCAAAAUCAGAAUUCGGUCACCUAAUCUGUAACUGGUCUCUUUAUGUACGUUAGCAACAGUUAUGCCAAUGCAGAAGUAACAGUGACAAUUUUCACUGGUCAAGUCCGCGCUUUCUGCCAUGCCCAACAUCGCCAUCGCCGUUUUAAAACCCCCAAAGGGCUUUAUCAAGGAAACCGAGAAGGUCAGGUGGCGCUUUCUUUGGUUCCUGAUGAGAACCUGACCGGCAACAAGUGCAAAGUAAACUGGAAGACGGUGUGAUUGCCUGGAGAUGGGGGCGCUUGGCAUUCAAGACCUGUUAGCCGCUUCGCGUGAACUCUGCGCCUACGACGACUCUGGCUCUUUUGGCGCACCUCAGAUCGGCCCCGGGCUGCCUUGAAAUUGCCCGGACCGCGAGUUCUUUGCCUCGGCAACUAUCGUCAUUAUCCGCAAUCGUUGCUGCCCUGCUAAAAUUCAUAUUGAUUGCUGCCCUGCUCGGUAUGUCAGGCGAUGCCCAAUUUGUCCAAGCACUCCAUAAUAGAUCAGUAGUCGAUGUGCUGCACAAACACAAUUGGAUCAAGGACGUUCAACAUAAUAUAUCCGAUUAAGUUGUGAAGGAUUUUAUAUUCAUAUGGUGACUGCUAUUGUGCUCCAGCAUUCAUCUUGAUCAGGACAUCCCAUGCACAAUUUGAUGGAAGUUCAUCGAGUACCGUAACUACUCGACCAGCUCGGCUUACCACAUCCAACACACUGGGCUGCAACGGUCGAAUUUUCGAUGCAUUUUGUAGUCCGCAUGGGCCCCGCAGGGUACAAGUUUUUCCUUCAGUCGUUCCUUCUUGAUAGAAUUUGGUGCACGAAUCUGCUAAUGAGACGGCGACGCUGGCAAAAAAAUCUAUUCUUAAAAUUGCUUCAAGUCGGAGAGGCGUCGAGAGACUUCCAGCGAAAUCCACCAAAUCUCACCGUCGGCGAGCUCCCGCCGCCGGCGUCCGGCGUUCCUUCCACCUGGGGAGUAACCUCCUUCCUCUCCAGGGGCGGAUUCUAUUUGCGCAGGGUCUCCAGAGACCCAAAUCGCAUCCUGCUUCCUACCUCUGUUUCCUACCAAGGUAGGAUUUGCUUUCCUGUCUAAAAUUUCUAGCAAGAAUCAGCUGAUUCGGGGCAAAAAAGGGGAACCCGCUUGUGGAUCUGCCUGCUCUUGGUUGGCCUUUCUUGGUGGGGAUUGGUAGCAGGAUCUGACAUUGACUGCGAUUUUUGAGUUGUAGAAGAUGGCCAGCAGAGGCAAGCUGAUGUGGAAAUCAGAGUCAUCUAUAAGAGGUCUGGGUGCAGAAAAAGGGAAGAAUGCAGAUGAAGAAGUGACAGCAAAAUUCAGAAAGUUGAACCUGGCAGCUGGAGAGGAUGAGAAGCUGAUAAUGUCAGAUGAUGAGGAAGAUGAAGAUGAACCAAAAGUCUUCUCUGUUAUCGGUAAAGUCUUAUCUCCAAGCACUCUUCAAUUGCAGACUAUCAUGGGAGCUAUGAAACCAGCUUCGGGAAAUCCAAAAGGGCUAAGAGCAAGAAUGGUGGGGGAUAACGUAUUCAUUGUGGAUUUCAUGACGGAGGCAGACAAAGAGAGGGCACUAGAUGGAACCCCAUGGCUUGUAGGGCGCCAUGCAGUGCUCUUGAAAGAGUUUGAGAAGAAUCUUAGACCCUUAGAUGUGCGUUUUGAGUCAAUGCAUAUUUGGGUCAGGAUCAUAAACAUACUUUUUAAGUGGAUGAACAAAAAGAAAGGAUGGAAGGUAGCGGGUCUUGCAGGCAAAGUUGAUAAAUUAGAUGUUGACGAAUUUGGCGAUGCUGCAGGUAAAUAUCUUAGAGCAAGAGUGGAAAUCCCAAUUGAGAAACCAUUGAAGAGGUAUAUCACAAUUGAAACUUCAGAAGGUGAUGAAUACUACGAUCUACAAUAUGAGAAGUUGCCUUUCUUCUGCUUCUCAUGUGGCAUUAUGGGGCAUUCUGAAUUAGAAUGUCAAAACCCUUCAGGAAGAGAUGCAGAAGGUAAAUGGGAAUAUGAUAAUUCAAUAAGAGCCCCAGAAGAGAGGAGGAGGAGAAUUCAAUCCUUUGCACAAGCAGCGGCAACUUCAGAUUGGAGUGGAUCUUCAUACCGAAGUGAUUCUCAUUCCAGUUCUAAAGGAAAAUCCACGGAGCAAUCUAAUAGUCAGACCUUUGAGAAGGAAAAAUGUAUCCCAGGAGAAGUGUCGAGCCCUUCGGAGAAAAUGGGCAUAGGUAAGGGUGGAGGUGUCCAAAAUAGCAACACUUGCAUGACUCUUUUUACAAGUCAAGCUCAGGAUAUAAGUGUAACAUGAAGGAAGAGGAAGCCACUGAAAAACAGUAAUAACCGUCAACAACAAUCAGGCACUGUGGCAGAAAAAAAUUGGAUGUUGGAGAAUGAAGGAAACUUAGUGACAGUCCCUGUUCGAGGAAUAGAUGAAUUACCUAGAGAGUCCGGCCCAUCAAACCUUAUGGAGCUGGAACAAAGGGAUGCAGAGGGCGCCAAAAAACAAAAGAUGGAACUCUCCUUAUCAAAUGCACUAUCGGCGGAGGCUGCUUAUGUGGAGCAGCCCCGCCGGUCACAAUGAAAACCUUAUGCUUGAACUGCCGCGGGUGUGGGCAGCCCGAGGCAGUUCAGGAGCUCCGCCUUCUGGUGGAGCAGCAUAGCCCAGAAUUUGCCUUCCUCUCGGAGACAAAGAUGUCUGAAGAAAGAGCAAAGAAUCUGAGAUUUAAAUUGGGGUUUGAUAAUGCGAUAAGUAGUGAAGGGUUAAGUGGAGGACUAGUUCUCAUGUGGAAAAAGGGUAUUAUAGUGAGGGAACAAACCAAAAAUAAUUCUCACAUAGAUGUCACUGUCUUCAGGAGAACUUGGGAGAAGAAUGGAGAUUUACAGGCUUUUAUGGCCAACCACGAAGUCAAAAAAGGAAAGAAUCAUGGUAUUUGCUUCAAUUUCUAAGAUGUGCAAGUGAUUUACCCUGGCUAUGUGCGGGAGACUUUAAUGAAGUAUUAGAAGAAGAGGAGCAUUUUGGCUAUAAGGAGAGAGGGGAAUGGAGAAUGUCUGGAUUUAGAGAGGUAGUCCAAAUGUGUGGCCUCUCAGAUUUAGGCUAUACAGGGCUCCCAUAUACAUGGGACAAUAGACAAGAAGGAGGAAAGAACAUCAAAGUUCGGCUGGCUGGUGAGAAAUUUUUGCAGAAAUAUGGGGUUAUAAAAGUGUUACAUUUGCAAACCACAGAAUCUGAUCAUUGUGCAUUGCUAAUAGAUAUUGACCAACAACAGCAAGGCGAAAAGGUGAAAGCAAAGAAAAUGUUCCGGUAUGAAGACAUGUGGAGGAGAGAGCCGUGCUAUUAUGACAUAAUAAAGAAAUCUUGGUGGUGUAAAGGAGAAGGCCUGCAAGAUUUAAUGAAAUCCCUUUCAUUCAUGAAGGAAUCACUUCAAAGAUGGAGCUUUCAGACUUUUGGAUCAGUUAGAGGCCAGUUAGCACAACUGAGAAGUCAACUAGAGGAAGUAAGAAGAAGGAGCUGGCAGACAGGGCCGUCGUUAGUAGAAAGAAGUUUAAUGGGUCAAAUCUCAGAACUGCUAGCGAGGGAAGAGAUUAUGAUGCGACAACAAUCAAGAGUAGGUUGGCUUUUUGAAGGGGACAGGAAUACAUCAUUUUUUCACUCAAGAUGUAAGGAGAGGGCUAGACAAAACAGGAUCAAAUUCUUGCAGCGGUUAGAUGGAACAAUAUGUUAUAAUCAGAAGGAGAUGGAGGAAGAAACAAAUCAGUUCUUCAUAAAAUUGUUCAGUGCCCAGGACAACCUCUCAACGGAAGAGGUAAUAAACUAUGUACCUACAAAGGUUUCAAAUGAAUUGAAUGACAUGCUUUGCAGGCCAUUCUUGCAGGAUGAGGUUGAGCAGGCAUUAUUUAUGAUGAAGCCAAAUAAAUCUCCCGGUCUUGACGGAUUCACAGCUGGGUUCUACCAAAAUCACUGGGAUAUAUUGAAGCCUAGCAUUUGUGCGGCUGUUCUAAAAUUUCUGAAUGACGGUGAAUUACCAGAAGAGGUCAAUAAAACCAUUCUUGUUCUGAUUCCAAAGGUAAAUCACCCCCAAGACUUGUCUCAGUACAGACCUAUAUCACUUUGUAACGUCCUUUACAAAAUAUGCUCUAAAGUGCUAGCUAAUAGACUAAAAUUGGUGAUGGAUGAGAUUAUUUCUCUAGAGCAGAGUGCUUUCAUUUCAGGGCGAUUAAUUACUGAUAAUGUUUUAACUGCCUAUGAAUGCAUUCAUUACCUUAGAAAGAAGAAAGGGAAAAUAGGGGCAAGUGCCAUAAAAUUAGAUAUGGCUAAAGCCUACGACCGUGUCGAAUGGCAAUAUCUUCGAAAAAUCAUGUUAAAGUUGGGCUUCCACUCGGCGUUCGUGAAUUUAGUAAUGAGAUGUGUGGAAACAGUCAGUUUUUCCGUGAAAAUAAAUGGGCACUUGACAAAGUCCUUUAAACCAACAAGAGGUUUGAGGCAAGGGGAUCCCAUAUCUCCUUACCUAUUUCUCAUAUGCGCCGAAGGACUUUCUUGCUUAUUAAAUUUCAAGGGUCCUCAAUACUUGUCUAAAGGCAUUAAGGUGGGUAUCCACACUCCAUGGAUUUCCCACCUUCUAUUUGCUGAUGAUUGUAUUAUCUUUACUCAGGCAACAAAGCAAGCAGCAGAGAGAAUUCAGGAAAUUCUGAACAUCUAUAAUAAAGGCUCGGGACAAUUGGUGAAUAAAUCUAAAUCUGCUAUUUUCUUCAGCUCAAAUAGCACGGAUCAAAUGAAAGAAGAAGUAAUGCAUGCUUUAGACAUCAGAAGAGAAGCGCUUGAAGAGAAGUACCUUGGCCUCCCUACGGCCCUACGAAGAAGUACGACAGGAGCUUUUGAGAAGCUAUGCACAAGAGUAAGCAACAUGGCGGGAACUGGAUUAGAAAAGAGGUUAAGUUCAGCUGGACGAGAGGUGUUUAUUAAAGUGGUCAUGCAAGCAGUGCCACUGUACUCAAUGAGUUGUUUUAAUCUCUCAAAAACAACUUGCAAGAAGUUAACAACAUCAAUGUCGAGAUUUUGGUGGGGAGGAGAUGGAGAUAAGCAGAAAUUGCAUUGGAAGAAAUGGGAUGAAAUUGCCCAACCAAAAGGAGCAGGAGGCAUGGGGUUUAGAAAUCUCCAAUUAUUCAAUUUAGCCAUGUUGGGGAAACAAGGAUGGAGAUUGAUAACAAAACCAGAAUCACUAUGUUCACGUGUAAUGGCUGGGAAAUACUAUCAUGGUACAGAUUUCCUGAAUGCCAAAAAGAAAAAAGGCAGCUCGCAUGUUUGGCAAGCAAUUUUGAAGGGUAGAACAGUACUACAGCUAGGAUUAAUCAAAAGAAUAGGUGAUGGUCUAUCAACCAACAUAUGGAAGGAUCGGUGGAUACCAAGGAUUCCAGGAGGCAAGCCAAUAUUUAAGAGCGAAGAAGUAACUGUGGAGAAAGUUUCAGAGCUCAUUAAUGAUGAUGGAAAAAGUUGGAACAUUCAAAAAUUGAAUAGUAAUCUAUCUCCUAUGGAGGUAAAUGAAAUCCUUAAGAUUCCUUUGGGAAGGUUAGACCAAGACCUAUGGGCUUGGGGUGAAGAAAGACAUGGCAUCUACACUGUAAAAUCAGCCUACAGAGCUUUAGCAAAGCAGUUCAGGGCUGAAAGUCAACAUCAUCAAGGAGUUGCACAAAGUUCAACUAUUGAAGAGAAUAAGUUAUGGAAGAAACUUUGGAACUUGUCAAUUCCCCCCAAGGUAAAAACUUUCUGGUGGCGUGUUAUUAAAGGCUUCAUGCCUGUAAAGGCUAUAUCGAAAAAAAGACACAUCGAAAAAUUAAGUAACUGUGUUGAAUGUGGUGCAAAUGAAGAUACUAUCUUCCAUGCUUUGAUAGAAUGUUCUUAUGCCCGAGUUUUCUGGAAUUUGUUUAAAAAACUUUGUGGCAUUAAGCUUCCCAAACUACAUCACCUAACUUGGGCCCAAGACAUUCUAGAUGAUGAAGUAUGUGCAACGGAAAAGGCGGGAUAUAUUUUGUGUGGCAUGUGGUCAGUGUGGACAUCAUGAAAUAAUAGAAUUCAUGGAGAUUCCUCAACUAAUCUAACUCAAGCUUGCAGGUGGGCGCAUGACAUGGCAUCAGAUCUGAUGUUGAAUGCAAAACCACAAGGAGAAGGAACCAAAACUAAGACCAAGACAUACUGGCAACGUCCACAAGAAGGCUACUAUAAAAUUAAUGUAGACGCAGCCUUCAAUUCAAAGGAUGAAAAAGGAGCUUCAGGGGUAAUAAUCAGAGACGCUGAUGGCACUGUAGUAGCGGCGAGCAGUAAAUGGUAUGAUUCAGUCCCUGAUGUUUUAAUAGCAGAAGCUUUAGCUUGUAGAGAUGGAGCUAAGAUGAUGAAGAUUCUCAAUAUUCGGCAAGGAACAAUGGAGACUGAUUCUCAGGAGCUUGUGUCCUUUUGGAGAUCCAAAAAACAUCAUAGAGCUAGCAUCUUGUCGAUUAUCAAUGAAAUACAAGAGCUGGUAGAAGGAUGUAGUGGUUUUGAUAUUUACCAUGUUAAGAGGGAGGCAAAUAUAGCAGCUCACAAAGUUGCCAAAUUUGCUUCUGAAUCAAAUCCGGAGUGUGCCUAGAUACACCAGGUGCCGGAUAGCAUCCUUCGGUGUACUAGACAAGAUUGUAAUCAUGUUACUAGUUAAUGAUGAAGCUCUUGUUUGAAUCGCAAAAAAAAAUUGCUUCAAGUCAAACACACAUAACUUUGAGUUUUCUUACGAACGAGCAUCAAAAAAGAAUCUUUUAUCCGGCAGGAAUGUUCCCCCAUAGCACACUUCUAUGUGUGUCACUCUGGCCACACACGUCCCACAUGUUUGCGCCACUGACCCAUACACACUUGUGUAACCACGAAGGUCGGCACUGAUAUCAUUCUUACAAUUUUGUAACGACAUCGUACUGGCUACCGAGUAUAAGGCCACCAUGACUGGCUAUCACUCGGAAUCUAGACUAGCCCCACACACCAACACUAGUCUUCUCUUCGCAUUUUGUGCUCACUCGUCCAUACUGUUGGGGAACGUAGCAAUAAUUCAAAAUUUUCCUACGUGUCACCAAGAUCAAUCUAUGGAGUCAUCUAGCAACGAGGGAGGAGUGGAUCUACAUACCCUUGUAGAUCGCGCACGGAAGCGUUCAAGAGAACGGGGUUGAUGGAGUCGUACUCGUCGUGAUUCAAAUCACCGAUGAUCCUAGCGCCGAACGGACGGCACCUCCGCGUUCAACACACGUACGGAGCAGCGACGUCUCCUACUUCUUGAUCCAGCAAGGGAGAAAGGAGAGGGUGAUGGAGAUCCAGCAGCACGACGGCAUGGUGAAAGUAGCGGGAUUCCAACAGGGCUUCGCCAAGCGCUGCGGGAGGAGGGAGAUGUGUCAUGGGAGGGAGAGGGAGGCGUCAGGGCUCAGGUAUGGUUGCCUUCCCUUCCCCCCACUAUAUAUAGGGCCAAGGGAGAGGGGGAGGGCGCAGCCUUGCCCCUUCCUCCAAGGAAGGGUGCGGCCAAGGGGGGGAGGAGUCCAUCCUCCCCAAGGCACCUCGGAGGUGCCUCCCCCUUUAGGACUCUCCCCUCCUCUUGUCCCUUUGGCGCAUGGGCCUCUAGGGGCUGGUGCCCUUGGCCCAUGUAGGCCAAGGCGCACCCCCUACAGCCCAUGUGGCCCCCCGGGGCAGGUGGCCCCACCCGGUGGACCCCCGGGACCCUUCCGGUGGUCCCGGUACAAUACCGGUGACCCCGAAACUUGUCCCGAUGGCCGAAAUAGCACUUCCUAUAUAUAAUUCUUUACCUCCGGACCAUUCCAGAACUCCUCGUGACGUCCGGGAUCUCAUCCGGGACUCCGAACAACUUUCGGGUUACCGCAUAAUAAUAUCUCUAUAACCCUAGCGUCACCGAACCUUAAGUGUGUAGACCCUACGGGUUCGGGAGACAUGCAGACAUGACCGAAACGACUCUCCGGUCAAUAACCAACAGCGGGAUCUGGAUACCCAUGUUGGCUCCCACAUGUUCCACGAUGAUCUCAUCGGAUGAACCACGAUGUCAAGGAUUCAAUCAAUCCCGCAUACAAUUCCCUUUGUCUAUCGGUACAAUACUUGCCCGAGAUUCGAUCAUCAGUAUCCCGAUACCUUGUUCAAUCUCGUUACCGGCAAGUCUCUUUACUCGUUCCGUAACACAUCAUCCCGUGAUCAACUCCUUGAUCACAUUGUGCACAUUAUGAUGAUGUCCUACCGAGUGGGCCCAGAGAUACCUCUCCGUUUACACGGAGUGACAAAUCCCAGUCUCGAUUCGUGCCAACCCAACAGACACUUUCGGAGAUACCCGUAGUGUACCUUUAUAGCCACCCAGUUACGUUGUGACGUUUGGCACACCCAAAGCACUCCUACGGUAUCCGGGAGUUGCACAAUCUCAUGGUCUAAGGAAAUGAUACUUGACAUUAGAAAAGCUUUAGCAUACGAACUACAUGAUCUUUGUGCUAGGCUUAGGAUUGGGUCUUGUCCAUCACAUCAUUCUCCUAAUGAGGUGAUCCCGUUAUCAACGACAUCCAAUGUCCAUGGUCAGGAAACCGUAACCAUCUAUUGAUCAACGAGCUAGUCAACUAGAGGCUUACUAGGGACAUGGUGUUGUCUAUGUAUCCACACAUGUAUCUGAGUUUCCUAUCAAUACAAUUCUAGCAUGGAUAAUAAACGAUUAUCAUGAACAAGGAAAUAUAAUAAUAACUAAUUUAUUAUUGCCUCUAGGGCAUAUUUCCAACAGUCUUCCACUUGCACUAGAGUCAAUAAUCCAGUUCACAUCGAUAUGUGAUUAACACUCAAGGUCACAUCCCCAUGUGACUAACACCCAAAGAGUUUACUAGAGUCAAUAAUCCAGUUCACAUUACUAUGUGAUUAACACUCGAUGAGUUCUGGUUUUGAUCAUGUUAUGCUUGUGAGAGAUGUUAUAGUCAACGGGUCUGAAUCUUUCAGAUCCGUAUGUACUUCGCAAAUUUCUUAUGUCAUCUUGUAGAUGCAACUACUACGCUAUAUUUGGAGCCAUUUGAAAUAACUGUUCUACUAUACGAAUCCAGUUUACUACUCAGAAUAAUCUGGAUUAGUGUCAAAGUUUGCAUCGGCGUAACCCUUUACGACGAACUCUUUUACCACCUCCAUAAUCGAGAAAAUUCCUUAGUCCACUAGUUACUAAGGAUAACUUUGACCGCUGUCCUGUGAACCAUUCUUGGAUCACUCUUGUACCCCUUGACUGACUAUGGCAAGGCACACUUCAGGUGCGGUACACAGCAUAGCAUAUGUAGAGCCUACGUCUUAAGCAUAGGGGACGACCUUCGUCCUUUCUCUCUAUUCUGCCGUGGUCGAGCUUCAUACCUUACAACUCAGGCAAGAACUCCUUCUUUGACUGAACCAUCUUAAACACCUUCAAGAUCAUGUCAAGGUAUGUGCUCAUUUGAAAGUACCAAUAAGCGUUUUGAUCUAUCCUUAUAGAUCUUGAUGCUCAAUGUUCAAGUAGCUUAAUCCAGGCUUUCCAUUGAAAAACACUUUCCAAAUAACCCUAUUUUCUUUCCAGAAAUUCUACGUCAUUUCUAAUCAACAAUAUGUCAACAACAUAUAUUUAUCAGAAAUUCUAUAGUGCUCCCACUCACUUCUUUGGAAAUACAAGUUUCUCAUAAACUUUGUAUACACCCAAAAUCUUUGAUCAUCUCAUCAAAGCGUACAUUCCAACUCCGAGAUGCUUACUCCAGUCCUUAGAAGGAUUGCUGGAGCUUUGCAUACUUAUUAGCAUCUUUCAGGAUUGACAAAACCUUCCGGUUGUAUCACAUACAACCUUUCCUCAAGAAAAUCGUCGAGGAAACAAUGUUUUGACAUCCUAUCUGCAAGAUUUCAUAAAUAAUGCAGUAAUCGCUAAUAUAAUUCCAAUAGACUCUUAGCAUCGCUACGAGUGAGAAAGUCUCAUCAUAGUCAACUCCUUGAACUUGUCAGAAAAAAUCUUAACGACAAGUCGAGAUUUCUUAAUGGUGAUACUUACCAUCAUUGUCCUUCUUCCUUCUAAAAUCCAUCUGCACUCAACAGCCUUAUGACCAUCGAGCUGUUCUGUCAAAGUCUACACUUUGUUUCCAUACAUGGAUCCUCUCUCGGAUUUUAUGGCCUCGAGCCAUUUAUCGGAAUCCGGGCCCACCAUCGCUUCUCCAUGGCUCGUAGGUUCAUUGUUGUCUAGCAACAUGACUUCCAAGACAGGAUUACGUACCACUCUGAAGUAGUACGCAUCCUUGUCAUCCUACGAGGUUUGGUAGUGACUUGAUCUGAAGUUUCAUGAUCACUAUCAUAAGCUUCCACUUCAAUUGGUGUAGGUGCCACAGGAACAACUUCCUGUGCCCUGCCACACACUAGUUGAAGAGACGGUUCAAUAACCUCAUCAAGUCUCCAUCAUCCUCCCACUCAAUUCUUUCGAGAGAAACUUUUCCUCGAGAAAGGACCCGAAUGUAGAAACAAUCCCUUAUUGCUUUCAGAUCUGAGACAGGAGGUAUACCCAACUGUUUUGGGUGUCCUAUGAAGAUGCAUUUAUCCGCUUUGGGUUCGAGCUUAUCAGCCUGAAACUUUUCCACAUAAGCGUCGCAGCCCCAAACUUUUAAGAAAUGACAGCUUAGGUUUCUCUAAACCAUAGUUCAUACGGUGUCAUCUCAUCAGAAUUACGUGGUGCCCUAUUUAAAGUGAAUGUGGUUGUCUUUAAUGCCUAACCCAUAAACUAUUGUGGUAAUUCGAUAAGAGACAUCAUGGUAUGCAUCAUAUCCAAUAGGGUGCAGUUAUGAUGUUCGGACACACCAUCACACUAUGGUGUUCCAGGCUGUAUUAGUUGUGAAACAAUUUCCAUAAUGUCUUAAUUCUGUGCCAAACUCGUAAUUCAGAUAUUCAUCUCUAUGAUCAUAUCAUAGAUAUUUUAUCCUCUUGUCACGACGAUCUUUCAACUUCACCCUGAAAUUACUUGAACCUUUCAAUAAUUUAGACUCGUGAUUCAUCAAGUAAAUAUACUCAAGAUCUACUCAAAUCAUCUGUGAAGUAAGAACAUAACGACAUCCACUACAUGCCUCAACACUCGGACUGCACACAUCAAAAUGUAUUACUUCCAACAAGUUGCUUUCUAGUUCCAUUUUACUGAAAACGAGGCUUUCAGUCAUCUUGCCCAUGUGGUAUGAUUUGUGUGUCUCAAGUGAUUCAAAAUCAAGUGAGUCCAAACGGUCCAUUUGCAUGGAGUUUCUUCAUGCAUAUACACCAAUAGACAUGGUUCGCAUGUCUCAAACUUUUCAAAAAUGAGUGAGUCCAAAGAUCCAUCAACAUGGAGCCUCUUCAUGCGUUUUAUACCGAUAUGACUUACGUGGCAGUUCCACAAGUAGGUGGUACUAUCAUUACUAUCUUUUGGCAUGAACAUGUGUAUCACUACGAUCGAGAUUCAAUGAACCAUUCAUUUUAGGUGCAAGACCAUUGAAGGUAUUAUUCAAAUAAACAGAGUAACCAUUAUUCUCCUUAAAUUAAUAACCGUAUUGCGAUAGACAUAAUCCAAUUAUAUCUAUGCUCAACGCAAACACCAAUCUCAAUGGUAGAGGGAGCGAGCGAUGCUUGAUCAUAUUAACAUUGGAAACACUUCCAACACAUAUCGUCAGCUCACCUUUAGCUAGUCUCUGUUUAUUCCGUAGCUUUUAUUUCGAGUUACUAACACUUAGCAACCGAACCGGUAUCUAAUACCCUGGUGCUACUAGGAGUACUAGUAAAGUACACAUUAACACAAUGUAUAUCCAAUAUACUUCUAUCGACUUUGCCAGCCUUCUCAUCUACCAAGUAUCUAGGGUAAUUCUGCUCCAGUGGUUGUUCCCCUUAUUACAGAAGCACUCAGUCUCAGGUUUGGGUUCAACCUUGGGUUUCUUCACUAGAGCAGCAGCUGAAUUGUCGUUUCAUGAAGUAUCCCUUUGUUCCCUUGCCCUUCUUGAAACUAGUGGUUUCACCAACCAUCAACAAUUGAUGCUCCUUCUUGAUUUCUACUUUUGUGGUGUCAAACAUCGCGAAUAUCUCAAGGGUCAUCAUAUAUGUCACUGAUAUAUCAUAGUUCAUCACGAAGCUCUAGCAGCUUGGUGGUAAUGAUUCGGAGAAACAUCACUAACUCAUUUGGAAGAUCAACUCCCACUCGAUUCAAAUGAUUGUUGUACUCAGACAAUCUGAGCACAAGCUCAACAAUUGAGCUUUUCUCCCUUAGUUUGCAGGCUAAGAAAAUCGUCGGAGGUCUUAUACCUCUUAACGUGGGCACGAGUCUGAAAUCCCAAUUUCAGUCCUUGAAACAUCUCAUAUGUUCUGCGAUGUUUCAAAAACGUCUUUGGUGCCUCAAUUCUAAACCAUUUAGCAUUACGCACUGAACUAUCAUGUAGUCAUCAAAACGUGUAUGUCAGAUGUUCGCAACAUCCACAGACGACGUUCGAGGUUCAGCACACUGAGCGGUGCAUUAAGGACAUAAGCCUUCUAUGAAGCAAUGAGGACAAUCCUCAGUUUACGGACCUAGUCCGCAUAAUUGCUACUAUCAACUUUCAACUAAAUUUUCUCUAGGAACAUAUCUAAACAGUAGAACUGAAGCGCGAGCUACGACAUAAUUUGCGAAGACCUUUUGACUAUGUUCAGGAUAAUUAAGUUCAUCUUAUGAACUCCCACUCAGAUAGACAUCCCUCUAGUCAUCUAAGUGAUUACAUGAUCCGAGUCAACUAGGCCGUGUCCGAUCAUCAUGUGAGACGGACUAGUCAACAUCGGUGAACAUCUUCAUGCUGAUCGUAUCUACCAUACGACUCAUGCUCGACCUUUCGGUCUUCUGUGUUCUGAGGCCAUGUCUGUACACAUGCUAGGCUCGUCAAGUCAACCUAAGUGUUUCGCGUGUGUAAAUCUGUCUUACAUCCAUUGUAUGUGAACGUUAGAAUCUAUCACACCCGAUCAUCACGUGGUGCUUCGAAACAACAAACUGUCGCAACGGUGCACAGUUAGGGGGAACACUUUCUUGAAAUUUUAAUGAGGGAUCAUCUUAUUUACUACCGUCGUUCUAAGCAAAUAAGAUGUAUAAACAUGAUAAACAUCACAUGCAAUCAAAUAAUAGUGACAUGAUAUGGCCAAUAUCAUAUAGCUCCUUUGAUCUCCAUCUUGGGGCUCCAUGAUCAUCUUGUCACCGGCAUGACACCAUGAUCUCCAUCAUCAUGAUCUCCAUCAUCGUGUCUUCUGAAGUUGUCUCGUCAACUAUUACUUCUACUACUAUAGCUAACGGUUAGCAAUAAAGUAAAGUAAUUACAUGACGUUUAUGUUGACACGCAGGUCAUAAAUAAAUUAAGACAACUCCUAUGGCUCCUGCCAGUUGUCAUACUCAUAGACAUGCAAGUCGUGAUUCCUAUUACAAAAACAUGAUCAAUCUCAUACAUCACAUAUAUCAUUCAUCACAUCCUUUGGCCAUAUCACAUCACAUAGCAUAUCCUGCAAAAACAAGUUAGACGUCCUCUAAUUGUUGUUUGCAUGUUUUACGUGGCUGCUAUGGGUUUCUAGCAAGAACGUUUCUUACCUACGCAAAGACCACAACGUGAUAUGCCAAUUGCUAUUUACCCUUCAUAAGGACCCUUUUCAUCGAAUCCGAUCCGACUAAAGUGGGAGAGACAGACACCCGCUAGCCACCUUAUGCAACUAGUGCAUGUCAGUCGGUGGAACCAGUCUCACGUAAGAGUACGUGUAAGGUCGGUCCGGGCCGCUUCAUCCCACAAUACCGCCGAAUCAAGAUUGGACUAGUAACGGUAAGCAUAUUGAACAAAAUCAACACCCACAACUACUUUGUGUUCUACUCGUGCAUAGAAACUACGAUCUACCUAGCUCAUGAUGCCACUGUUGGGGAACGUAGCAAUAAUUCAAAAUUUUCCUACGUGUCACCAAGAUCAAUCUAUGGAGUCAUCUAGCAACGAGGGAGGAGUGGAUCUACAUACCCUUGUAGAUCGCGCGCGGAAGCGUUCAAGAGAACGGGGUUGGUGGACUCGUACUCGUCGUGAUUCAAAUCACCGAUGAUCCUAGCACCGAACGGACGGCACCUCCGCGUUCAACACACGUACGGAGCAACGACGUCUCCUCCUUCUUGAUCCAGCAAGGGGGAAAGGAGAGGGUGAUGGAGAUCCAGCAGCACGACGGCAUGGUGGAAGUAGCGGGAUUCCAACAGGGCUUCGCCAAGCGCUGCGGGAGGAGGGAGAUGUGUCAUGGGAGGGAGAGGGAGACGCCAGGGCUCAGGUAUGGUUGCCCUCCCUUCCCCCCACUAUAUAUAGGGCCAAGGGAGAGGGGGAGGGCGCAGCCUUGCCCCUUCCUCCAAGGAAGGGUGCGGCCAAGGGGGGAGGAGUCCAUCCUCCCCAAGGCACCUCGGAGGUGCGUUCCCCCUUUAGGACUCUCCCCUCCUCUUGUCCCUUUGGCGCAUGGGCCUCUAGGGGCUGGUGCCCUUGGCCCAUGUAGGCCAAGGCGCACCCCCUACAGCCCAUGUGGCCCCCCGGGGCAGGUGGCCCCACCCGGUGGACCCCCGGGACACUUUCGGUGGUCCCGGUACAAUACCGGUGACCCCGAAACUUGUCCCGAUGGCCGAAAUAGCACUUCCUAUAUAUAAUUCUUUACCUCCGGACCAUUCCGGAACUCCUCGUGACGUUCGGGAUCUCAUCCGGGACUCCGAACAACUUUCGGGUUACCACAUACUAAUAUCUCUAUAACCCUAGCGUCACCGAACCUUAAGUGUGUAGACCCUACGGGUUUGGGAGACAUGCAGACAUGACCGAGACGACUCUCCACAUGUUGGCUCCCACAUGUUCCACGAUGAUCUCAUCGGAUGAACCACGAUGUCAAGGAUUCAAUCAAUCCCGCAUACAAUUCCCUUUGUCUAUCGGUAUGAUACUUGCCCGAGAUUCGAUCGUCGGUAUCCCGAUACCUUGUUCAAUCUCGUUACCGGCAAGUCUCUUUACUCGUUCCGUAAUACAUCAUCCCGUGAUCAACUCCUUGAUCACAUUGUGCACAUUGUGAUGAUGUCCUACCGAGUGGGCCCAGAGACACCUCUUCGUUUACACGGAGUGACAAAUCCCAGUCUCGAUUCGUGCCAACCCAACAAACACUUUCGGAGAUACCCGUAGUGUACCUUUAUAGCCACCCAGUUACGUUGUGACGUUUGGCACACCCAAAGCACUCCUACGGUAUCCGGGAGUUGCACAAUCUCAUGGUCUAAGGAAAUGAUACUUGACAUUAGAAAAGCUUUAGCAUACGAACUACAUGAUCUUUGUGCUAGGCUUAGGAUUGGGUCUUGUCCAUCACAUCAUUCUCCUAAUGAGGUGAUCCCGUUAUCAACGACAUCCAAUGUCCAUUGUCAGGAAACCGUAACUAUCUAUUGAUCAACGAGCUAGUCAACUAGAGGCUUACUAGGGACAUAGUGUUGUCUAUGUAUCCACACAUGUAUCUGAGUUUCCUAUCAAUACAAUUCUAGCAUGGAUAAUAAACGAUUAUCAUGAACAAGGAAAUAUAAUAAUAACUAAUUUAUUAUUGCCUCUAGGGCAUAUUUCCAACACAUAUUGGGAUCAACUUCCCCGUCGGUCCCACCGUCAGAUUUCUCCAAGUCAAACAUGCUUAAUUUUGAGAUUCUUUUGUGUAUGGAUACCUAGAAAAGAAGGAAUUGCUUCUCGAUAUGAGUAAUCUAUCAGUCCUAUAAACCUGGAUGUUAUAGGAAGGUUGCAGCUCGCUCUCAUGUGAUCACUGGAAGCAUUUGGGUUCUUCCAAGGAGAUUUGGUGUUGCAUCAUAGGCAAGGGCCAACGGCACAUGGGGAUGCUAUCACUCUUGAUGCUGUUUUCUUGGGAGAUUUGGCUUGAAAGAAAUAGAUAUUUUCCGCAAUUAAACCCUGCCGAUUAGAGAGAUGGCGGCAUCGAGGAGAUCGCCAUGGUGUAUUGGCCUCUAGCAAGAGCUAAAAUUUAGAAAUUAACUGUUUUUGAGGACCCGGGGUGAAACCUUGAAAGAUUCAUGUUGUGUUCAGGCUUCGUAUUCUUCUCUUACUUUCUUCUCGCUUCUCUCUUUAUUUCCUACUUGUCAUGGCUGUAACCAUGUAAUUAUUCUACCUGUUUGUCAAUGAAAUGCCUACAAUUAGCUUUGUUUGACACAAGAAACGACUUGUGGCAUGGUCUGUCCCAGCCGCAACUGUCGUGGAACCUCCCGCACAUCACGAACACAACCGGAGCUUAGAGCAUCUCCAACAGGCGCCGGUCGCACCGCGCGCAAAAAACACGUAUGCCGCGCGCGCAUCGUCUGGUUUGACGCGGCGCGCAGCGCUGACUCCAGCAGCCGCGCUAAAAUAUAGCGCGCGCGAGUCGCACAAACAACUUAUGCAUUCAAAAACAAAAGCAAAAAAUCAAAAACAAACAAAAAUAAAUAGUUCAAUUUCGUUUAUUACAACUCAAACAAACAGUUUAUCGUUCAAUACAACAAAUAGUGCAAUUAAACACAACAAAUAGUUCAACAAUACAAUAACGAACGCAUAAAUCAUGAUGCACUUUGUCGUCCAUUCCAUGCCCACCACUCCUCAAUGAGAUCCUUCUGAAGAUCAUUAUGCGCUGCAGGACGUCGAAUGGCAUGAUGGGAGGCAACAAAACGGGCGACCCUUUCAGCCCUCCGUCGCACUCGCACGGAAUAUCCUAAGAGCUCAUACUGAGAGUAGUCUACAUCUUGGCCACGCUCAUUCUCGAUGAUCAUGUUGUGCAUGAUCACACAAGCGUGCAUUAUGUACCAAAGCAUCUUUUGAUCCCAAAAUCUAGCCGGUCCUCUCACAAUAGCAAAUUGGGCUUGCAAAAUCCCAAAGGCUCUCUCCACAUCUUUUCUAGCCGCCGCCUGAGCAUUGUGGGAAUCAAGUUUUUUCUUACCUUCUGGCUUUUUCAACGGCUUGACAAAGGUUUGCCACUUUGGAUAGAUGUCAUCCGCUAGAUAAUAGCCAUAGUUGUAUGUACGGCCAUUUGCUACAAACUGCACCGGUGGCAACUCCCCAUUUGCAAUCUUACUCAUCAGUGGUGACCGGUUGACAACAUUGAUGUCAUUCAAAGAUUCAUGCAUUUCAAAGAAUGCAUGCCAAAUCCAAGUCUCUUGAUCGGCCACCGCUUCAAGGAUUAUAGUGGAAUCCUUUUUUUGGCCGUGGAAUUGCACAUGCCAUGCCUUUGGACAAUUCUUCCAAGUCCAAUGCAUGCAAUCUAUUAAGCCAAGCAUGCCAGGAAAGCCGCGAGCUUUGUUCAUCGCUAAAAGCCUUGCGACGUCUUCAGCGUUGGGAGAUCUCAAAUACUCCUCGCCAAACACUUGCACAAUUUCGACAGCAAAGCGCUUGACACACAUGAUGGAUUGGCUCUCACCCAUAGCCAAGUGAUCAUCAACUAGAUCAGCCGGUAUACCGUAUGCCAACAUACGCAAAGCGGCUGUCACCUUCUGAAAGGUGCUAUGCCCGAGCUCUCCGGCGGCAUUCCUCCUUUGCCGAAAAAAGCGGUCAUGGCUUGCUAGUUUCUCUGCAAUGCGCCUGAACAACUCGGUGCUCAUCCUAAACCGGUGACGAAAAUACGACUCGGGGUAUGUGGGAUUCUCCGCAAAAUAAUGCCUGAUCAAUCUGUUGUGGGCAUCGAUCCUAUCCCUCCAAAAAAAUUGCCGACCCAUAACCGAACCACCGUGUUUCGGUAUUUUAUUAAUAUGCAUAGCUAGGAUCAUUGCAAGAUCCUCGUCCUCUUCCAUAUCAAAUUCUUCUUCGGAAGAAUCAUACGACGAACUCAUCUAUAAUGUUGAAUACUAUGCUAUAAAUAAAAAACUACAAUCAACAUGCCCGAAAUUCAUGGCUUUUGAGCAAUACAUACCUUCUAGGCGUUUUGUCGAACAUCUAGCGGGCGUCGAGCGGCAGCGAGCGCGCGGGCGCUGUUCGUCGGUGGACCAGCACGCGCGCGGGGCGGCGGGCCUAGAGGGGGGCCGGAGAAAGCGCGCGCGGGGCGGGGAUAGGCCGGGGAAGCGCCGGAACGGUCCCCGGGUGGCGCGGUCAGCGACGGCGGCGCGGCUGGAGGGGGGUGGGAGGUGCGAGCGAGCACGCGAGAGUCCAGCGCGCGGGAGCGGGCGCAGCAAAUAAGCGGCGCGUGAUUGCGUUUCGGCCCGCGCGCUGGACUAUGUAUGCCGCGCGCGCGGUUUUCGCGCGCCCGCUGGAGCAGCUAUUCUGGUUGCGCGCGCGCUAAAAGGGGGGAUUUUGCGGCGCGGCGCUAGUUUGUAUAUGCGUGUAAUUUAGAGAUGCUCUUACGGAAGACUCCAACCGUAUAUGCGUGCACCUGAGGCUAGUCAUAGUGGGAGGAACUUAGCUAGUAACAUAACGCACUUCGAGAAAAUUCUGCUUAUGUGGCAAGUAAUUAAUAAGAGGUGGUAACAUAAUAUGUUACUGUAACAUAGCGUUUUCCAAAACAAGAUGAGUCUACGAGCUAAUAAAUGAAGUCAUCUAUGAUACUACUAUUAUAUUACUUUGUAUUAUGAAGAUAAUAACUAUAAACUAGUGUUAUGCAUAUAACACUAAUUUAAAUUACUUCCCAUUAUAACCAGCAUAAAGCAACGGCACACAACCGCGCGAGUCCUUGGGUCCAUGCAAGCGUGCCCGCACAUGCACACCGCAUGGUCGAAGGAAAAUAAAGGCAUCUUCAAUGGGAGGCGGUAGGAAAAAGUUCCAAGUCGAUCGGCAGUUGCAACGUAAAUUCCAGAACUAUUCCCGGCGUCGGGUGCCGCGGCGGCGGAAAAGAAGGCACCGAGCGCUAGCCCUUUUUCUUCUACACACAGCACUAUUUUCAACGAUAGUUAGCGCCGCGGCUGGCGCCAGCCUUGGAACAGAUACCGCUUUUGUUUCCGCUUUGCAAAAUGUCAUUUUUCAUUUCUGGGUUUCCUCUAUGUUUUUGUUUUUCCACCGAAAUAGCGAAAAGUUUCCGCUUCAUGUUAUGCCAAGCACCCGUGAAAACAUACCUACUAUGCCGGCUAGGUGUUUGCCGAGUGUUGGAUACCGACUAUUAGGGCAUGUACAAUGAUUGAUAAAAUAAUUUUAUUUAAGGUCUUGCAUGUAAUUUAGAGAUGACAAAAAAUAUAUCUACAAUGGAUCAUCUUUUAGCCUUAUCUUUAAUAACUAGGCAUUCCUAAAAACAUGAUGGAACAUAUUGUGCUAAGAGAUCAUUUCUUGUCUAAGAGAAGACAAGCCUUUUUUUAUGAGUUCUCUGUCAUCCAACUCACCAUUUAUCCUACGUGACACUUCUAAGAUAGCACCAUUGUACAUGCCCUUACAUUAGACAUAUCCUAUGUCGAGUACAUAUCGGCCUUCACCAAGCACCCUAGGUGUUCCGCAUAUAAUGUUUUUCCUGUAGUGAAUAUGUGUCCCCUCGCUUCCAGGAGCCAGGCAUAAUGCAUAGUAUCACAUCUUAGUAUUAUAUGGACCUCAUUUAUUCCUAUGCAUAAUACAUAGUAAGAGCAUCUACAGCCGGAUGCCUCAAGCCCUCUCAUACGCUCGCAGACGCGCCCGGUCAGUGGCCGGACAAGAGAGAGAAGAAAAAAAGUGACCCAGCAAGACCUCUCAUACCAUUCCUGUACGGCCGGGCUGUCAGCGAACCCUCAUAUCCAUCUCAAAUGUAGGGAGGAUAUCAAGGCUCGCAGAUGCGCCCGGUCAGUCCGCCACGUAGGACGUGGCCUCACCCCGACCACCUUUUCUUUUUCUUUAUUCACUCUUUUCCUUCUCUCUUCAUUUUCACCAAUCAUGUGCAAGUGACCGGACAUAUGAGGAGGAAAAUAAGGACCGUGGCUGCGCGAACGGACAAAUAACGGGCACGCCCGGUCAGUGGCCGGGCGCAUCCGCGGGCAUUUAGGAGGUCAUAUUUGUUAAGUCCGACUGUAGAUGCUCUAAUACAUCAUUUAAUAUGAUAGGGUGUCAUAAUAUGAUACUAAAUCGUCGCUUUUCUCAUUUAAUUAUACGCCAUCUCAACAAAAUACCCUCCGUCUCGGUUUAGAGCACGUGCACGUAGUUCUAAGUCAUCCAUUUGACUAACUAAACAUGAGUUAUAUGUCACCAAAAAUAUAUCAUUGAAUUCUUAAGCAGAUGUAGUUUCUAAACAUAUAUAUUUUUCGUCACAUAUAAUACAUAUAUAGCUAGUUAUUAUGUCACCAAAAAUAUUUAUGAUGCCUCACGGUGACCAGCCUGACAGACCUGAAGCUGGCUGGUGCUAAAUUACACGAUGAUGACGUCGUGUGGAUGACGGGAGCACGGACACACCCGGUGGCGGUGGCAUGUGCUGCAUGCAUGGAUUGGCGAGUUCGCGUUCAUCUCGCUUCAGUUUAUGGAACAUGUGAGAACGGGGUGAGCAUGAAGUCGAUCAUAUGACGACUGACCCAUGGACUUGGUGUUGGAACCAAAUCCGCUGCAACGCCCGAGAUUUGCCAUGCAUUUCGACGGACAGCCGCGGCCGUGGUGCCCAACACGAGAGCAGAACAGUUGUACUCCCUCUGUUCCAAAAUACUUGUCGUGUUUUUAAUAUAAAUUUGAUCUAAAACCACGACAAGUAUUUUGGAACGGAGGGAGUAGUAGCUACCAGCACUUCCUACAACUACUUUCGGUGCAAUUCCUACGAACAGUGUCGUGUGAUGAUUGUGGCAACAUGUAGACCUGCUGUCACCGCCACGUAAAUCCUCAUCCGUACGCGUUUCGCCGCGUAAGUCCUUUUAUCCGUACCGAGGGUUUAUUAUCAGGCUUUCGUGGGAAGAAGACUUGGCUUAGCCCCAGUCACCACAAAGUGUCAAGAUCAAUAAUCAUAUGUACUACCCCGGUGCACGCGUUCAACAUGACCGAAUGGCAUUGCCCAGUUUCAUACUUGAUCAGACUCGUGUGCGUACUUUGCCCGACACAGGAGACGACUCGCGCCCUGCUCAGUCUCAGCCGCAACUGCUGUGCAAUCUCCACCACCUCACGAACACAUCAGCAUGCACUUUACGCAAGACUCGACCACCCGCACGUGCACCUGAAGCAAAGAUUAAGGGUACACAAACGCGGAGUCCUCCUGGGUCGUCCAUGCAUGCAUGCGUGUUGGUACAUGCACACCGCGCGCUCCAGGGAACUGAAACGCCGGAUCAUCAUCAUCCACUAGUGUAAUGUAAACGUGUGCGAUGGAUCAAAGAAGGGGGAAAUAUCAACGUUUUCGACGGCCUAGAGAUGGUCGCAAAUGACUAAUGGAGCUUGAGCUAGCUCCAUGGAGCCCUUUAUUUAAAUAGUUCAAAAUUCAAAAUUUUAAGUUUCAAAAAUUCUGAAAACAAUACACGUGUGCAUAUGGAUGUAUACUACUUGUCUACGAUGUUUCAUGAUGAAAUACUUUUUUAUGCGAGCUACAUAAAAAUGACAAAUCACAUAUUUCUAGCACAUGUAUUAUUCACUAUAAAAUUACAUGAUUUUUUUACAGGACACAUAAAAAUAUAUUUUUUGGGGAUGAAAGAUCCGCGCACAUCUUGUAUACAUCUAUAAGUACUUGUGUAUUUAUUUUUUUGAUUUCUGUGAAACUUAAAAGGUUGAUUUUUAAUGUUUGAAAAAUUCAGGUUCCAUUGAGCCCGAGAACAAAAAACCACUAUCAAUUCCCAUAUUAACUCUGAAACAAGUAAAAGCUAAUCCCUCAAUUGUUGAAAUCAAAAAAAUUAGUCCCUUGCUUUGGUUUUUUGUGUGCUGACGUGGCAUGGCUUUGACCACUAAACUCGCCACCUCAUUGUCCACCUCAUCUUUGUCUUCCUCCACUCACUCUCUUUGCGCCGAGGGAGCAACUCCAGCCACCACCUCCACCAUCCAUGGCCUCGCCUUCAUGCUCCUCUGCCUUCUUGUGCACUCCUCAUCGUGGCAUGCCACUGCGGCUUCAAGGAGCACGGCGUCGAUGAGGAGGAAGCCUCACAAUCACAUGCAUUUCCAAGCAAACACCGCCGCCAACAAAGGUAAAACGCAAUGUCUACUCGGGUGUUGUUCUUGCUUGCUCUUGAUUUGUGUACGUGUGGUUAACUAGCAAUGAAUGUCACGGCGUGGCAACUAUAGGCGCAGGACAUACUACACCGACGGGUCGCAAUCGACGAGAAUAUUCAGCCCGCUUGGGGCGGCCCGACACAUGUCACCCGACAUGAACUUCAACAUCUACUCCAGCUUAUUAGGCUAGUUCUAGUAGUGAGUAAGUUAGACCAAUAACAUGCACAUGUUACUACUCUAUGUUAUUACUUUUAUAGUGGGGAGUGUCGUUGAUGUGAUAACAUAUAGAGCUUCACUUAUUACUUUGUAGAGCCAUCUUGCAUUGGGAACCGCUAUGUGAUGGUAACAUAUUAUGUUACUCUAUUUGCAUCUUCAUUAAUUACUUACCACAUCAUCUUUUUUGCCUAUGUGGCAUGUUUGUUAUUACUUAUGUUACUCCCACUAUGAGCAGCCUUAAGCCACCGCCCACGCCACUCGGGGUGUCGAGGAUUGGCAGGGGCAAGUUCACCUACGAGGACCUUGCGGCUGUAAUGGGAUAGAGAGGGAUUGGUGUAAUGGAUGAUGUAUUGCUUGAGCCUCGUGGGCAUAUAUAUAGAAGUACAUGAUCUACUUAGAGUACAAGACAAGGUAGAAUAAAUCCUACGCUAUUCCAAUCACGAUACUCAGCAGCGACAAUGACAGGUGGCUUCUUGCAGGUGAACAUGAUCAGUAGGGCGGGUUCGGGUACACGCACAAGGGGUUGCUCCCCUGCGGCAGGGUGUUGGCCGUGAAACAUCUCAAGUCCAGAAGCUGGGGGGGGGGGAUUUCCAAACCGAGGUGGACAUCAUCAACCGGGUGCACCACCGCCACCUUGUGUCCCUUGUGGGUCAUUGCAUCAUCGGCGCCAGCCGCAUGCUCGUGUACGAGUUUGGCCCAACAAGACGCCCAAGCUCCACCUCCACGGUCACUGCCCCUGCCUCCAUGGUUGUGCAAACCUUCCAGGAGUUAAUUGUGCACCAUUUAUAUACUAAAUUAUUGAUGGUUGGUGUGCUGGGUGCAGGGAAAGGGUUGCCGUCGGUGGCGUGGGCAAUGAGAUUGCACAUCGCGGUCGGGGGCGGCCAAGGUGGCGUGCACGCGAGAUGUGCGUGUCGUGGAUGUGUCGGCGCUGGCGUCCGAGGGUGUGGUGAUUGUGCCCUACACGACAGGUUUCUCACAUGGGCGUAGGGAGAGUGGAGGAGAAAAGACGAAGGUAAGGUUGUCGAGUUGACGAUGAGGUGACGAGGUCAGUGAUGAGCCAUGUCAGCACAAAACCACAUGAAGCAACCUAAGGGUCAAAAAUAUCCGGUUUCAACAGUUAGGGCACUAGCUUUUGCUGGUGUCAAAGUUGAGGGGUCAUUUCUAAACUAGCGGAAAAGUUGAGGGACAAAUAAUAUAUACUUUUUCCAUCAAAGAAACACGCACUGUACAUAGGCACCUUACGGUCUUGUGGUACAUUAAUGUAUUAUUUCUUUUUCUUGGAGGUACAUUGUACUCAAGUUCCCCUUUCCGUUGACGUGACGGCUUGUUCAUACGUAUACUUCCGACCUAUAAACGUAGAAACGGCGACCGAGGAGGACGGGGGUAGAAACUUCGCUUCCGUUUUUGAACGACUGGAUAGAGACUACACCUACGACGUACGCACGCCGCAGAGCAAGAGGACUGUUUAAAAAUGCCUACGCCCGUCAAUUUUAUCCUACGUAUAUGUUUUUUUAGUUCACCAAAGUGAACGCUGACGCAGGAAAACGAGUGAGCUACAUGAUCAAAGGAUUACGUUCAAGAGUAGGUAGCUUUGUUUCGUUCAUUUUCCUCUUCAUUGGAUUAGUCUUUAAUUUCUCCGAGGAAGAAAUUAAGCGAGCAGGUGACCUGCUAGACAUUUACGUGCAAGCAUCCUCAUCAUGGAUUAGCUUCUUUUCUUUUUGAGAAGGAGGCUAAUUUGGCCAGUGUCACUAAGAUAUUGAUUUUGAGAAGACUGCGGUGACCCAUCCUCGAGUAUUAUGCGUAGACCACAAGAUGAGAGUCACGACACGCCGUCGCCACAUGUAAAAGUUCAUCAGAAUUAGCCAUGUUUCGUACUCUUUUCGACUACGCGGCAGGGAGAACUUCGCACGCAGACUUGAUGCGACGGUCUCAUGUAUGCGACGUUGUUGACCGUCUGUAUGAAAAUGAAUAUUCGCAUAAAUGUAGAGAGAGUUUCUUAAUUGACAUUAGUGAAAUAAGUAGCCGAAUGUGUUUUUCUAAUCCCGAGCUCGAAUGCUUAUAAUCAGUAAAAAUCAACAAAAUAGAAACAAAAACUGAGUUUUUUUACAACCAGCAUUGCUUUCCCGCAUGGCCGCUGCCGCACGCCGUGGUACUUCUUCUUCGACAGUGGCUGCGGCAUGUUGGACAUGGAUCUCGAGUGGGGGGUGUCGGUGGAUGCUCAGGGCGAUCGCGCGCCCUUUUCCAUGAUCGAGCUCUUAUAGUCUAGUUGAGCAAAGGCCUAUGCCAAUGCCAUAAUUGUGAAAAAGCACAGUUCCAGACGCGCGCCGAUCCGGCGAUGGCCCCCCCUCGUCAACUCGGUAGCGGCGAAGGCUGAUGGCUAGAUCCGGCCAUUCGGGGAGAUGGCGGGCGACGGCGAUCGAUUGGAAGAGGGUCUGGGUGGACUUUGGGUCCGGAUGCGUGUAGGGCUAUGGUGGCAGGGGGAGGGGCGUUUUAUGGCGCUGGCGCAAGUGCUAGAGAACGACGGGCACAUGGGAGGAGAAAUAUUCCUGAGAGUGGGUUACGGCCGAUCAAAUAUAAGGCCGAUGCAUCUCUUAUAAUAUUUAUAAGGAGUUAAAACUGAUAGUGUUUCAGCUAGGUCCAGUUUAACUCCACAAAUGUGAAAUUUUGAGUAGUUAAACGGUUCUAAGAGACCAGCUAUAGAUGCUAUUAUAGAGUAGUAAUGCCCAUUUGCCCAUGGUGCAACUAGUGUGGCGUUUUGUAGAUCGGCUCCGGGAAGCCUGUAAAUUUCAAAAACCAAAAUUGCAGUUUGUAAGUUUCAUAGAAAAAAUCCUUUUUUUUGCAGAGAUACAUAUAGUCUUUGUCCACUUGUCUGUGAAGUUUCAUUGAAUAAACAUUUUUUUAGAAAAUUCAUUGAAUAAUUAGUUGAUUUGUAACCCCUCAAAGAAAAGUUGAUUUGUAAUCUCACGCAAAAAGAAAAGAGAGUUGAUUUGUAUCCUUCACAGAAGAAAAAAAUCCUGGCCCUAAAACAGCAAUAGAAAGGCCUGUUUCGAUAUACACAUUUACCCUUCCUUUUUUAGUACACCACAUGCAUGCAAAUAUAUUUUCACGAAACUUCAUAUAUAAAAUAAAAUAAAGGAAAUAAAAUAACUUAAUAAAGGGCUCCGGCCUCGAGAGCGCAUUAUCGACGUGCAACGCGCUAACUUUGGUAGCACAGUACCACUUGGCACGACGUACGCGCGCUGGCAUUGGGCAGUCUCACGUCGCGUCAGCCUUUGCAGCAGAACACACCUGGCAGGCCGCGGCCGGAAAUUGUAUGAAAGAGACCCGGUAGUUCACUUCCAAAAGAAAAGGAGACCCAGUAGCUACGUUCCUCCUGCUGUCCCCAGGUGGCGGACACCGCGUGAUCGACAACACCGAGAGGACUUGGCUUGCACGCCGGCCGCCGCGGUUCACGGCGCCGUCUUAUUUCCUUCAGCGCGUCCAUGCAAAUGCAUGCCGACUAUAGUUCGCCAUAACCCGACCAACUAAGCAAACCCUUGCUCGAUCGACGUCGCCGACAUGGCGACAUCCUUUCCCGUGCGUGCCUUAGCCACUAAGGCGUCGCAAUGUACACACUAGAGCUGGCUGCCACAUACGUUCUCUCUUUUUGUCUUGUCGUACGUAUACCAUGUAAAGUUACUUUUGGUGGAGUAUACGCACGUACAUGCAUGGUGUUUUUUGGGGUGAUGCUCCGUUCGGUUCGGGUGGAGAAGGUUCGCCCGCGCUUCCCCUGUAAAUCACGUCCCGCGUGCAACGCAACGGCUUCCUUGACAGGCCAACAACGCUGUUGGUUGGGAGUCAUCACGAAAUAAACGGCAAAUGACGAGGCGAUUAAUUCGUGCAGCAGCUUUGAUCCGUUCCUAGCUAGUGUGAUUUCCAGGAACCUUCCCAAGUUCUCCUCAUAUAUCCAGCCCCGGCCGGCUCCAUCAAACUCAUCAAGGAAGGAUUUCGAGCACCCCUGACCCUCCCAGCUGGUGUAGAUCCGUCCAUCGAGUCCUGCCUACCUAGGAGCUCUUCGCUGGUCGCCGCAUCCAUUGAUCCCAACCUCCAUACUUGUUGUGUUUCUCACCCUUCUCGCUUAGCUUUGCAAUCGCGCGCUGCACAGCGGAUGGAGUGCGCCGACGUCUUCAUCGCCGUGGGCCGCCGGUCAACGUCGCCCUCCACGUCCUCCUCGUGGCAGCCGGGGAGGCAAUGGCGCAAGGCCCUCAACGUCAUCCGGACGUGCCACAGGCUGGCGCGGCUCGGCAUUCUGUCCGCGGGCGUCCUCCUGCCACGGAGCACCGCCUCCUACGUCGCCAUCAAGAUCCACCACGACGGCAGUGACUCCGACGCCGACUCGUCCGGCAAUGCCACCAACGCCGCAGCAUUCUCUGUCACCGCUGAUGACGAGCUUUUCAAGGGCCUGGUCAAGGAGAAGCGCGAAGACUGUUUCCGCCGCCUCGGGGGCAGUGCUGCCAUUGCCGCCGCGUUGGCGUCCGACGCAGAGCGCGGCAUUCGCGGCGACGGCGACGACGUGCGGCGCCGCAGGGAGUCGUUCGGCGGGAACACGUACCCCAAGCCAAAGCCCAAGAGCUUCUUCAGCCACGUCUGGGACGCGCUCAAGGACGUCUUCCUCAUCGUGCUCCUCGUCUGCGCCGUCGUUUCCCUCGGCUUCGGCAUCAAGGAGCACGGCCUCAAGGACGGCUGGUACGACGGUGUAAGUAUCUUUCUUGCGGUGUUCCUCGUUGCUGCCGUCUCCGCCGUCAGCAACCACAGCCAGGCCAAGCGGUUCGACAAGCUGGCCAGCGAGUCCGACAACAUUGCCGUCACCGUCGUCCGCGCCGGCCGGAGGCAGGAGGUCUCCAUAUUCGAUAUCCUCGUCGGCGACGUGGUGAUACUCAAGAUCGGCGACUCGGUGCCGGCGGACGGGGUGUUCCUGGAGGGUCACGGCCUGCAGGUGGACGAGUCGAGCAUGACGGGCGAGCCCCACCCGAUCGAGAUAGAUGCCGAGAAGAGCCCCUUCCUCACCGGCGGCGUGAAGAUCGUCGACGGCUACGGCCGGAUGCUCGUCACCGCCGUCGGCACCGACACCUUGUGGGGCGAGAUGAUGAGCAGCAUAACCAAGGAGACGGCCGAGCCAACGCCGCUCCAGGAGCGCCUCGAGCGCCUCACCUCAAGCAUUGGCAAGAUCGGCGUCGCCGUGGCGGUGCUCGUGUUCACCGUGCUCACCGCGCGCCACUUCACCGGCAGCACCAAGGACGACCAGGGGAAGCCGCUGUUCAACAAGGGCCACGUCACCUUCGACGCCGUCUUCAGCUCCCUCGUCGUCAUCUUCCAGCAGGCCGUCACCAUCAUCGUCGUCGCCAUCCCCGAGGGCCUCCCGCUCGCCGUGACGCUCACGCUCGCCUUCUCCAUGAAGAGGAUGGUGAAGGAGAACGCGCUGGUGCGCCGCCUGUCGGCGUGCGAGACAAUGGGGUCCGUCACAGCCAUCUGCACCGACAAGACCGGAACGCUGACGCUCAACCAGAUGAAGGUGACCGAGUUUUGGGUCGGCACUGACCAGCCCAGAGGUGCCACGGCGAUCGCCGGGAGUGUCGUCAGCUUGCUCUGCCAGGGAGCUGGGCUCAACACAACAGGAAGCGUUUACAAGCCGGACAACGUGUCGCCGCCGGAGAUUACAGGCAGCCCGACGGAGAAGGCGCUGCUGUCGUGGGCCGUAGCGGACCUCGGCAUGGACGCCGACGCGCUGAAGAGGAGCUGCAAGGUGCUGCACGUUGAGGCAUUCAACUCGGACAAGAAGCGCAGCGGUGUGAUGAUCAAGGACAACGCUACGGGCGCGGUGGUCGCGCACUGGAAAGGUGCCGCGGAGAUGGUGCUGGCGAACUGCUCGAUGUACAUGGACACGGACGGAGCGGCGCGUGAGCUCGGAGCGGAGCAGAGGAGGAACCUUGAGAAGGUGAUCAACGACAUGGCAGUCGGCAGCCUCCGGUGCAUCGCCUUCGCCUACAAGCAAGUCGACAGCACUACUGAGCAAUCGAAGAUCGACGACGACGGUCUCACACUGCUGGGCUUCGUCGGGUUGAAGGACCCGUGCCGCCCAGAGGUCAAGGCGGCCAUUGAAGCUUCCACGAAGGCGGGCGUCGCCGUCAAGAUGGUCACCGGCGACAACAUCCUCACGGCCCGCGCGAUCGCCAAGGAGUGCGGCAUCAUAUCCAGCAACGACCCCAGCGGCAUCGUCAUCGAGGGGGACGAGUUCCGCGCCAUGUCGCCGGAGCAGCAGCUGGAGAUCGUGGACCGGAUCCGCGUCAUGGCGCGGUCCCUGCCGCUGGACAAGCUGGCGCUGGUGCAGCGGCUGAAGCAGAAGGGGCACGUGGUGGCCGUGACCGGCGACGGCACCAACGACGCGCCGGCGCUCAAGGAGGCGGACGUGGGGCUAUCCAUGGGCGUGCAGGGCACGGAGGUGGCCAAGGAGAGCUCCGACAUCAUCAUCCUCAACGACAACUUCGACACGGUGGUGACGGCCACGCGGUGGGGGCGCUGCGUCUACAACAACAUCCAGAAGUUCAUCCAGUUCCAGCUCACCGUCAACGUGGCGGCGCUCGUCAUCAACUUCGUGUCCGCGAUCACCACGGGCAAGAUGCCGCUCACCACCGUGCAGCUCCUGUGGGUGAACCUGAUCAUGGACACCAUGGGAGCCCUGGCGCUCGCCACGGACACGCCCACCAAGGCGCUCAUGGACCGGCCGCCCAUCGGCCGCACGGCGCCGCUCAUCAGCAACGCCAUGUGGCGCAACCUCGCCGCGCAGGCGGCGUUCCAGAUCGCCGUGCUGCUGGCGCUCCAGUACCGGGGGCGGGACGUCUUCGGCACCGACGAGAAGGGUAACGGCACCAUGAUCUUCAACGCCUUCGUGCUGUGCCAGGUGUUCAACGAGUUCAACGCGCGGGAGAUCGAGAAGAAGAACGUGUUCGCCGGGGUGCUCAAGAACAGGAUGUUCCUCGUCAUCAUCGCCGUCACGCUCGUGCUGCAGGUGGUCAUGGUGGAGGUGCUCACCAGGUUCGCCGGAACCAAGAGGCUGGGGCUGGGGCAGUGGGGCGUCUGCCUCGCCAUCGCCGCCGUGUCGUGGCCCAUCGGCUGGGCCGUCAAGUUCAUCCCCGUGCCCGACCGGACUCUCCAUGACAUCCUCACGCGCCGGAAAUCCUCAUGAUUCGUGCAUUUCAUACCGCAGUGUUCAUAUUUUACAUAGCUUAGGUGAUUCUUUCAUACUGUGCAUUUGUUUAGUUCAGUAGUUAUUUGUCGAACUGCAGUUUUCAUACUUCACAUAACCUAGGCGAUUCUUUCAUAAAUUGCUACUCAUUAUUUGUCGAAUCUUCUUAUAUAUACUUAAUACAAAUAUAUUUCUUUUAUUCAUCGGUAUUUCUCAAAUCCUCCAUUCAAACUGGCUACCGUGUUUGACCGAGGGAACUACCUGAAUGUCAGCAUGAAUACACCUAAUAUAAGCACAAAUCCUCCAUUCUAGAUGUUCAAUCAAACACAGGUUGGUCCUUUUUAGGUGUGUAUAGCUCUGAAACUAAGCGUGGAAAUAUUUUUUGCAUAUUUCUUCCAGAAUAAUACUUUAAGAUCUGAUUGGGUUUUGCCUUUGCUUGUGGAUACUUGUGCCUCUGAAUAUGCUUACAUGUUCCAUUGUUCCAGAAUAAAACUUUUGAUAAUGUUGCAGCGCAUCAGUUCCCUCCUAUCUUCCCUAGAAGCAUCUAUCUUGACAUCAGUCGUAUUUUAGUUCUAAGUUUGGUAAAUAAUUUAAACGCUUCUUCUUUCAGAAGCUGCUGACAGAUGAGAGGCGGGCGAACAACUAUCACAGUGUCGAAGGUUAUGUCGCAAUCCUGAGUAUCAUCGAAUUCCAACCAUGGCUUAUUGCAUACGCCUCACGCAUCACCUCCUUAAUCUUCUAAACUCCUUAAAGUUUCCUCUGUCUUGGGUUUCUUGCAAUAUGCCUUGACCAUUCCACUUACUAGUAGGAGCAGUUAAGGAAGUGAUGUUUCUGUUGAAGUGUAAUUUUUUUAUAGUUUUCUUUGAAAGAGUCCUCUUACCGAAGAACUGGUGAAAUACGUGACCAAGAUGUCAUUUAAUAAAAUAAUUGAGUAGUGAAGUUUAACUAAAUGGCCCGAAAAUAAAUGAAUUUGUGUUUAAAAAAGUAGAAAACCGGUUAGAAAUCACAUUUUUUUCAUUGGAGAAAAUAUAAGAAGUUAAAGGAUAGAAGGCCGGUUGAUCCUCCAAAUUAUAAGGGAUUAGUUAGAGAUGCUCUUAGCAACCACAACAACGUCUGUCUGAUUUCUUUACAUAUGUGUAUACUGUUGAGUUUAUUAAAACUAUUUUUCUCGCCAAGAACCAGAUUAGUCCAGAGUGUUUUCCCUGCACAAACUUUGGCCUGAUAAAGUUUCUCCACAUAUAGUUUUGAUGCUUGCCCUCAUAUAGUUUGGCAUUUGACUAAAUUGUACCAGGCCAGGGCUGACCAUCAACCUCUCAUCUCCAGGAACUAUCAGGCAGCAGGGCCUGCAAGAAAGCCUCGUUGUAGUGUGAAGAAGACAAGUUCGAGCAGUACAAGCUGGCUGCUGGUGAUGGUAUCACGCCGGAGAUCAUCGAGUCUGUGCAGAGUUGCUUUGGCAAACUUAAGGAAUCGGACAGUUACUGAAGGUUGAUGUUUGUUGGGCUCCAUUAGUCUGAAAAAAAGAGAAUGAAUCCAGCCAAAUGACAAUAUGUUUCUUGGUCAGAGCGUGCACUUGAGCCAGCAUUGUCAUGUUUCUGAAGGGAAUUUGGGGAAACAAUCGUUCUUGCUGGAGUUGUAGAGCCAACAUCCAUCUGGUAUGAUGCAAAAGAAUGACUCGAGGCAGACGUUUUCCUGCUUUAAUUAUGCUGAUGCACUUGAGCCAGCGUUGUCAUGUUUUUUAGAGGAACCUCGCCCAGCUAAGCACCUUUAAGGUCGUUUACAUCCGGAACGUCUCCAUCAGGCUCUGCCUCGCCCUCAUCAUCGUCAGCCACCCAGGCCGGCUACUGCGCCAGCCCGACGAACUCCACCUCGCACAGCAGCCCGUCGCCGACGCAAACAGUGUCUCGGCCUCCUCCGCCAGCACUUUCUAGUCCAGCGCGUCGCCCGCAUGCUCACCCGCCGAGAUCCUGCCGUGGCCCGUGGGCAGCAUCCACAUUCACCCUGAAUUACAGGCUAGAAACUGCCAUCCAGCUUAAAAGAAAUACAACUUUAUUUGCAGUCAUGAGCAUCAGCUCGAUUUGCAUAUACUACAAGAGUACGUACGGCGUAUUACAACCAGCCAUUCAAAUCUUGAUGCACAUAAAGGCCGAAAGCACAGACAUUCCCCUCGUUCUUACUACCCUUGUCCAGCACGCUGGCUUCUUUCUCCUACUCUUCGUCUUCUUCGUCGGCAGUUUCUUCUUUCGCAUUGCCAUUUCUUUCUUCUUCUUCUUCAUUGCCUUUUCUUUCUUCUUCUUCCUGGCCGCCUUGUCGUUGUCACUGAGUAUCACGGUGACCAGCUGCUCGAUGUAGCAUGUGCACAGGGCGAAAUUUGCUGACAUGUCCAACAUAGCCAAUUUGGUGGAGUUCAGAUGGCGUGAUGACAUUCAGGAAGAAACGAGGAAUGUUAGUUGUUUCCUGGAGCUCAGGAUCAGAAACGAGCGGAAACAUGCAAGGGGAGAGGAAAAACCGUAUGGAGGAGGGAGCUUCACUAGGCGAAGUGCAGCCUUUUUAUAGGUGACCCGUUGUGCCGUUUCUCCGGCAAAUCGUUGUUAUCCCGGCUUGAUUUCCAGGAAGCUUCCUUCCCCCAAUUUUGGCUCAUAUAUACAGGACUAGAAGCAUAAAAGCGCCUUGCCGCGUUGUUUUCUCCCUACCAUUUUUCUAUUGGUUGUUUGUUAAUUCGUCAAUGAUUCUUUUGCUUCUUUUCUAGGCCAAGAACGUUAAUUUUCUGUAAGUCUAUCAUGUUUUUGGCUGCAAUGAUAAUGGUAUGAGAGCACCCUUUACUUCAAGAUGUCCAGCAACAAAGUAGACCAUUAUUCAAUAUUUUACUACAAUUGCUCUUGGCAAAUGAAAUCUGAGCAGCGCUACAAAAAAAUAUACCACAGGGGCCAAACCCUAGUACCAGAUGGGCAUGACAAUAUUAAACUGCAAAACAUCAUCUAAAAGGUCAUACAAUUCAAUGAUUUGACCAAUCAAGAUUCCAUAUAACACCACAGUCAUAUACAAAUAAUCCACAGUACUAACAAUAAUGGUCUUGGCAGCCUCAAUCAAAGGCAGUUUCUACAGUAAUGGUAAAAUGGCAGUGGUAGUACGCAACACUUGGAAGUUGCAGCACCACAACAAAGUUGAUGGUCUUGGGUGCUAUAUCGGAUGGCAUAAAUACACAAAUAAAAUAUAAACAACAAUAAGAUAGGAGGAAAUUAUGCUUCAACCAGCAAGUACAAAACUUCUGUUACAUAAAUAUAGGUCAUAGUAUUGCUGCAAAAAUUGCCUUGACGCUAGGUAAUCUAACUUUCAUAUACAUAUGAAUUUGUUACUAUAAUCUAGAAAAGAUGCAGAAGUAAUAUUUUAUGAAAUGCCCUGUAGAGUAGCAUAGUCUGCUAUAACAACACUCACCACAUGUUUUGUUGGGGCAAGAAGAUGAUUCUACCACUGAAACAAUAAACAAGGCAAAGAAAAUGUGUUCACUCCAACAACAACAAAAUGAAAAUGUCUUCAUAAUUUCUUCUUUGAUGCACAUAUCAGAACAAAAAAAAAUGCAUGGAGGCAAGAACUCUAAAACCACGGCAUACAUACUAAUGGUUUUAUGGAGGCAAGAACUCAUAAACAUCUAGGUUUGAGGAACUUACAAUUCCAACAACAUAUACAAUAUCAUUCUGAGGUGAUAGGACAACCAUCUUGAUCUCUAGUUUGCACAGACAUUGCAAUGCAAGUCAGUAGUAGUACUGCAUUCCUGAUAUUCCGAACAAGUACCAAAUGGGUCUGGUUAUGCAUAACAGCAUAAGUGCGAACUACUUUCCCUAAUAAAUUACUCCAUCAAUGCUUGAACAUAAAAAAUCCAUUGUCCAGGCAAAACUAAAACCAAGUUAUCCUUUGCCACUUUAUUGUGUGAUUGCAAAAAAGGGAAUUGAUCACUCUAAAUAGGUGAUAGAAAGGAAAAAAAUGUUUUACCAUCCACAUAUGACAAUUUGCCAAUACAAACCAAAACCUGUAGGAAGUAGGAACGACUUUGAUGUUGUGGGGUUUUGAGUAUUAGUUCCCAGAACAUUGGUCCUUCAAGAAGAUUCCAUGCCCUCAACAUACUACCACCCUGAGAAAGAGCAACAAGAUAUCAAUACAUGUUCAAAACCAGAUCAGUUUAAAAAAUGAUCAAAAAUCAGGUCGCAAUUUAGAUUUUUGCUUAGCAAACUAAAGUUAGAAUACUGCAAUGGCUAUAUGCAGGAAACCUGUGAAACAAUAACGAGCAUUAAAUAGGUGGCAUUGUCUCUCUCACAUAACCAAUUUGAACAACAAAUGAAUGAAACAUUCCACUGUUGUCUUCUCAAUGACAAGAAAAAAAACAUUAAACUUGAACUGCCGAAAUGCAGGCAUGCAAUUGCCAUGCCGCUCAUGUGUAGUUAUUAUAGCACCAAUUAUCAUGGAUAUAUGUCGAAUCUUAUAUAGCUUAGGCAAUUCUUUUAUACUGUACAUUGUUACUCGUUAUUUGUCGAAUCUUAUAUACAGUAUAAUGCAAGUAUAUUUCUUUUGUUCAUCGGUGUUUCUAAAAUCCUCCAUUCAAACAACAUAAAUUAAGGCGCGAUUUCGCGCCGCAACGUGGCAAGCUGGCUACCGUGUUGACCGAGGGAACAAGCUGAAUGUCAGCAUGACUACACCUAAUAUGAUCACACAAUUCGGCUGUCAGUCAUAAGAUAGUGUCCGUUCUAGAUGUUCAAUCAACACAGGUUGGUCCUUUUUAGGUGUGUAUAGCUCUGAAACUAAGCAUGGAAUAUAAUUUUUUGCAUAUCUCUUUCACAUUAAUACUUUUAAGAUCUGGUUGGGUUUUGCCUUUGCUUGUACCUUUGAAUAUGCUUACAUUUUCCAUUAUUCCAUAAUCAAACUUUUGACAAUGUUGCAGCGCAUCAGUUCCCUCCUAUCUUCCCUGGAAGCAUCCAUCUUGUCAUUACCCAGCAGGUUGGUCAGAAUGAGUCCAGUGGUAUUUUAAUUCUAGGUUUGGUAAAUAAUUUAAAUGCGUCUUCUUUCAGAAGCCGUUGACAGAUGAGAGGAGGGCGAACAACUAUCACCGCAUCGAAGGUCACGUCGCAAUCCUGAGCAUCAUCGGAUUCCAUCCAUGGCGUCUUGCAUACGCCUCACGCAUCACCUCCUUAAUCUUCUCAACGCCUUAAAGUUUUCCUGUGUCUCGGCUUUCCUACAAUAUGCCUUCAUCAUUCAAGUUAUAACACAAUUUGAAUAUUUCCACGAUAUGGUCAUAAGGGAAUGUGUUUUCAAAAUAGGCNNNNNNNNNNNNNNNNNNNNNNNNNNNNNNNNNNNNNNNNNNNNNNNNNNNNNNNNNNNNNNNNNNNNNNNNNNNNNNNNNNNNNNNNNNNNNNNNNNNNNNNNNNNNNNNNNNNNNNNNNNNNNNNNNNNNNNNNNNNNNNNNNNNNNNNNNNNNNNNNNNNNNNNNNNNNNNNNNNNNNNNNNNNNNNNNNNNNNNNNNNNNNNNNNNNNNNNNNNNNNNNNNNNNNNNNNNNNNNNNNNNNNNNNNNNNNNNNNNNNNNNNNNNNNNNNNNNNNNNNNNNNNNNNNNNCAUACCCAUGCAGAGAAAAAUAUCACCAAGCUCUCGGCGCUCGCUAGCUAUCUCCGAGCAUGCCACGCGGCUUGCCCCCACACCUCACGAGCCCCCUUGGGAAGCUCAUCUAGAGGGUACUCCGGCUAUUUGCUCCAUUUUUAUGAUAUUUUAGGGGUCCUCUUAUUAGUCACUAUGUGUGCCAAACUGACGAGCAAACACACAUAAUGACAUGGAUGGGCAGUUUCAUUUUGUGUCGUCAAGUGGUUCCUUCGUGUGUAUCGGUUGUAUCUAUGUUUCUUUGAUUUUUACAGGUUUUCAAUCAAUUUUAGUUUGCAUAAACACACACAAAAAUAGUACAUUUCUAUAAAGCGAACAGUUUUAAACUUUAUGAAUCUCUUUCAAAAAUAAACAUUAUGAUAUUUGUGAACAUUUCUAAAAGUGACGAACAUUUUUUUUCUGAUUUGUUUUACACAAAUUCUGAACAUUUUUAAAUUUUUACUAUUUUUAUGUAAAACAAUUGUGAACAUUCCCAAUGAACCUCAAGAUUUCUUGAUAGAAAAGUGAACAAUUUGAAAUUUCUGGAAUUUUUAAAACCAAUAAUAAAAAAAUAAAAACGAAAAAUAGAAAACAAAACCAAUAAGCCAUAGCGAAAAAUAAUAGAAACCAGAUGAGAACCUUCCUAAAACUGGAAAAACUGGACUCAUGACCUUCCCAAGACUGGAAACCAAAAAUAAUAAAUAAUUGGCUUAACACUAAUCGGGUCGAGCAAGUCAUUAGCUACUCUCUUAUCAUACCCAUGCAGAGAAAAAUAUCAUCAAGCUCUCGGCGCUCGCUAGCUAUCUCCGAGCAUGCCACGCGGCUUGCCCCCGCACCUCACGAGCCCCCUUGGGAAGCUCAUCUAGAGGGUACUCCGGCUAUUUGCUCCAUUUUUAUGAUAUUUUAGGGGUCCUCUUAUUAGUCACUAUGUGUGCCAAACUGACGGGCAAACACACAUAAUGACAUGGAUGGGCAGUUCCAUUUUGUGUCGUCAAGUGGUUCCUUCGUGUGUAUCGGUUGUAUCUAUGUUUCUUUGGUUUUUACAGGUUUUCAAUCAAUUUUAGUUUGCAUAAACACACACAAAAAUAGUACAUUUCUAUAAAGCGAACAGUUUUAAACUUUAUGAAUCUCUUUCAAAAAGAAACAUUAUGAUAUUUGUGAACAUUUCUAAAAGUGACGAACAUUUUUUAUUUUUUUCUGAUUUGUUUUACACAAAUUCUGAACAUUUUUAAAUUUUUACUAUUUUUAUGUAAAACAAUUGUGAACAUUCCCAAUGAACCUCAAGAUUUCUUAAUAGAAAAGUGAACAAAUUGAAAUUUCUGGAAUUUUUAAAACCAAUAAUAAAGAAAUAAAAACGAAAAAUAGAAAACAAAACCAAUAAGCCAUAGCGAAAAAUAAUAGAAACCAGAUGAGAACCUUCCUAAAACUGGAAAAACUGGACUCAUGACCUUCCCAAGACUGGAAACCAAAAAUAAUAAAUAAUUGGCUUAACACUAAUCGGGUUGAGCAAGUCAUUAGCUACUCUCUUAUCAUACCCAUGCAGAGAACCACGGCGUUUACCCGACAUCUAAUCGCAAGUGUUAUUUUUAGCAGUAAACCACACUCGACUCUAAUCUAUAUCUUGCUUAUUGCCAGACUGAUUUUUUUUUUGAAACAAUUGCGAGACUGAUAACGAGUCACAUAGACGAGCUAUAUCUCGCGCAAAGUGGCCCGGCCCAAUAACGUUGCUUCUUGCAUUUUGGGGAACCUUCCAAGGGAGCAACUAGUUAACGAGCGCUUCUUCGAGAGCCUCGCAACGAUCAGCGCCACCUGGCGCGCUCUCAGCCAUUCGUCACGUGUCGUGCUCUGGACGCUGCCUCUGGAUUUUGUUUUUUUCUCUAUUUUCCGCGCGCAUUUUCAGCUUUUUAAACGGUUUUUUUCCGAGUUUUUUCGACGUUUUGGUUUUCCCCCGAUCUUCCUUAGCUUUUCGAUCAAAAAAAAUUUCCGCGAAAAAACAUGUUUUUUUUUCUUUCACGAAAGUCACGGUUUUUUUUUCGCGAGAGGCAUGGUUGUGCUUUAGCGAGAGUCACGGCCGUGCCUUCCGGAAACGGAAAAAAACGCGUUUUCUGUUUUUUUUUCUUUCGCGAGAGUCACGGUUUUGCUUCCGCGAGAGGCACGGUUGUGCUUUCGCGAGAGUCACGGCCGUGCCUCUCGGAAAGGGAAAAACAAAACGCAUUUCCCGUUUUUUCUUUUGCGAGUCGCGGUUUUGCUUCCACGAGAGGCACGGUUGUGCUUUCGCGAGAGUCACGGACGUGCCUCUCAGAAAGGAAAAAAUACGCCUUUUCUAUUUUUUCGCGAGAGUCACGGUUUUGCUUCCGCGAGAGGCACGGUUGUGCUUUCACGAGAGUCACGGCCGUGCCUCUCUGAAACGAAAAAAAAACGUGUUUUCUGUUUUUUUCCUUUCACGAGAGUCACGAUUUUGCUUCCACGAGAGGCAGGGGCGUGCCUCUUUCGAAAAGGGAAAAAAUCAUGCUCCUGGUUCGGUUUUUCGGCCGGUUUUUUCGUGAAAAAAAAGUUCGUCAAAACAUAUCAACAUGGUAUCUAGUUUUGAAGAUCUCGACGCGAGGAAUCCAAUGAUGAAAACGGUUCAAGAUUUGGACGCACGGUUUAAAAGAUAAAACGUUUUGAAUAAACGAAUCUAUGAAAAAAGGAAAAACUCUCGGUUGCGACAAGUGGCACGCUGCAUCUCCGCCACUUGUCGCGACUUGGGAAAGUGAAGUGUUCUUUGCAACGAGUACUCCUUAAUUAGUGAUUUCGACCCUCCAAAGAGCGGCGGUUUCGGAAACCUUCACACGGUUUUGGAAGGUUUCCUUUUGAUGUCUUAUAUUUUGGAACAGGCGUUGUAUUUUUUUUCCACUUUUCUAUUCGUUUUCAUUUCUUUUUUUCUCUUCCAAGUUCAUGAAGCAUUUUAAUCCUCCCAAUUUUAAUGUAUAAACAUUUUUUUACUUGUCAUGACCAUUCUUUAAAUAUUGAGCAAACAAAAUUUGACAUUUACAUGAACUUUUUAAAAAUUAAUAAAGAUUUUUAAGUUUGAAGAACAUUUUUUGAAAUGGUAUAAAGAUUUUUACAUCCUAUGAAUAAUUUGGAAAAAUUGUGUGGACAACCUUUUACAUUCCAGAACAUUCAUUUAAACUCUCAUGAACAAGUUUUUCAACGUGUGAACCAUUUUUUGAAUGGUACAAACAUCUUUGUAUAUCUCAUGAAAAUUUUAUUAAAAUUUUGCGGAUAAUUUAUUUUUCAUUAACAAAAAAUAAAACACAACUAAUCAUAUUUACCAACCUGGUGGACAUUUUCGGAAAUACCCGAUGAACAUUUUUAAUACAUGAUGCAUGUUCUACAAAUUAAUAAAAGAAUUCAAAAUGAAUUUUUCAAACAUUUUUAGCGGAAAAAAUUCUUAUAUAUAGAUGGUACAUACGUUACAAAUGAAACGUACUACAAUACAUUUUUUUCAGUCUAAACACACUCCACUUUAUUGGUUAUUGAACAAGUCUAUAGGGAUAGAAUGUAGAUAUGGAGUAUUAAGGAGACACACAUGGAGCCCUAAAGAAAGGCCUAGAGUAUGUUUAGUGAGACUAUGUGCCUCAGUAUUGAUUCCUCCUUCCUUCGAAGAUGAAGGAACAUCGAGAAAACUAUCGUGAUGUAAGGUUGAUCUCCUUGAUAAUACUAGAGUGUAGCCCACCCGUAUUUCUGUGAAUGUCGUUGAUUACACCUUGACAGCCUCAAGCUAGCUGCACGUCUGUAAGCGAUAAAUCGAAAGCAAGUGAGAGCGCUUGGCGACAGGCCAAUGCCUCCAAAGAUGCUGGGUCGGUCAUUCCAGGACAUUUUAUUGCCGAGGAACCUAGAUAGUUGCCGGUGGAGUCCCUGCGAACUGCGUUGUAAGAACCCUCUGUCACGUCACGGGACACGGCACUGUCCACUCGAAUUUUUGCUGGGCGGGAUGUGUGAGCAGCCAGAUGCUGUAUCAUCGGUUUGCACGUCUGAAGCUCUCAGAGAUAGAUCUGGACAAAUAGAUUAGUGGCUAAAACAUUUUAGUUUUGAGAUCCAUAAGAAAGACAUAUUUGAGCAACCAUUUUGCAGGUUAUAUCAAAAAAAAGUUGGAGAAUUUUUCGCAGGCCAUAUCAAAAUGGACCUGUCUAUUAUCAUGAUGACCUGUGGAGAAGCUAGGUAAGGCCCAUCUGGUUGGCCCAGAAGCCCACGGCGGAACCCCGACAGCGCCGCAGGGACGCGCAGAGUUCCGGCUUCGUCGCUGCCCUCCGCUUUCCUCCGCCGCAGUUGAGAUCGAGUUCGUGUUUGGCAUUUGCUCGCUUAAACCCUCCCACCUCCGCUACAAACCAAACGCAAACCCCACGGAACAAUCCCCUUCUUCUCCCCUUCUUCCUUUUCUUUCUUUUCCCCCAAGCCAGCCCGCCCCCCGCCAGCCAUGCUCCGCCUCGCCGCCGCGAGAUCGCGGGCCCUCCUCCUGCCCCGGCCCGCCGCCGCCGCCGCCCCCUCCUCCUCCUCCUACUCCUCCUACGCCCGCGGCGCCCCCUCCCCCUCCUCCUACGCCUACCGCGCGGCCUCCUCCGCGGCCGCCGCCGAGGAGGCCGCGGCCGCGGCGGCGGCGCCUCCCCCCGCGGCCCGCAAGGGGUGGGUCAGGGGCCUGCUCAAGUUCGGCGUCUUCACAACCCUCGUCGGAGCCAUCGGCGGCGCCGGCUACGCCACCCACGGUGCGACCCCGCCGCCCUGAUCUCUCUGCUCGGGCGCUUCCUCCCCGUUUGGGGCUCCGCCUUCUCACUUUUGUUUGACCUUGCCUUGUUUGUUUGUUCCUUCCCGUUUGCUGCAGCCUACUCGCUGUCCGAGAUUGACAAGAAGACCCUCGAGUUCAGGAAGGAGAUGACCACCCCGAUCCCCGUCGCGGAGGACGCUUCAGAAUUAGAGGUAAUAAUUAACCAAUGCCGCGCCAUCUUCCCGUCAUUGCCUUUGCUUCGUUGCUUGCUGGAGUAGUAAUUUCGCUAGGGGCAAUAUAUAGUGUACCUGAUUGGCCUAUUGGCAGCUCUGUUUAUUGUAAUAAGCUUGUAAGGGAGAGCCUCUCUAGCGAUACAGAAACAUGCAACAUAUUGUUAAACUAUCACUAUGUUCUGUCACAAGGUCCAUGGUAUCCAAAAUCAUCAAUAUACAUGUAUGUGAUGCAGAAACAAAUGGAGGUUGUGGAAAUAAACUGCAGCUAGCAGCUUUGUUGUGUGUCAAACUAUGUCUAACACUAGAGUGCCUGUGCUUUGUCUGUGCAGAAAUUUCGGGCUAGGGCUUACGAAACAGCUAUGAAAGGUACAGGCUAUGGCAGCUUCCUUCUUUUAUUAUUGUUAUAUUAUUAUUAUUAUUAUACUUGCCUUCCUUUUUUUCUACUACCUGAAAUAUUUUUUUCCUUUUGGACCGCAAGAUUGCUAUAUUACAGUUUUUACUCUCUUGCUGUUUGUUUUCUACCUCCUCUCACUUCUUUCCUCACUUGAUGCUUUUGUACACGUUCCAAACACUUGAUUGAACAGUGAUCUGACGACCAUUAUAGUAAGUAGUAAUAAAUUAAAAGAAUUCUCCUCAGUGAGUGCAAUGAAGAUUGGAAUUGAAUACAGUUAUGCUGCUACUCCCUCUGUUCCACAAUAGAUGCUGUUCUAGCUUUCACAUUUUCUUCCUAAAUACAUGUCAUUCGAGGCAAUUCUUGCCAUCCUUUCCUUUGCAUACCCCAAAAAAUUAUUAUUCACAAGGUUCGCUACUAUGACUAGAGUAGUACCCACCCAUCCAGUAGUGAUAAGUGAGGUAACUAAGGGGGCCUUGGUGGGAUGGGGUUGUAAAAUCUUAGAAUGGCAUGCUUGUGCAGCGGAUGGUGUCUUCUGAAUACAUAAAUAUAGUCAAAAUUAUUCCUUGAGCUCCAGUAUACCUUUUUGUUUGCCACCUUUUUAAUACUUAAUACUAGUCGUGUACGUUUUGGUACUGCAGUUCCUGUUGCAGCGAUAGAGCUUUACCUGGAAAUUAGGGCCAGAAUUGAAGAUCAUGUUGUGGUUAGUUACGAAUUAUAGUAUUUCCAUUUUUUAUCUAACAGUUGUAUUUCUAGUAAAUGUUAAUAAUCACACCAAAUAUUUGUUUGACAGGGCUUUACUGAACCCGCAUCAGACAAACUGCUACCAGAUUUACAUCCGGACGACCAGAAUAUCUUCACCCUAGUUGUUGAUCUGACUGACACUCUUGUAUGCAAUGAUUGGCAGGUAGAGUGAAUGAAAUAUUUAGUCCUGUUUUGAUUGUUGAUUUUUUCCAGUACUAUAACCCAAUCUUAGGAUUUGAUGGGAAUGAGUUACUAUGAUACAUGGACUGAUAUUUACGUUAUAAAAAAAAGACUUCCAAGUCCAUGUGAGUGGCAAUGUGCAGCUUGUUUUCCAUGCUGUCAGAUAAUGUGCUAACAAGUGCAGCACAAUAUAUAACUUAAAUGAAACCAUCUCUAACUGAAGGAAAACUAAUUUUAUUUUCAUCUCUUAUUUUCCUAAAUAUUUAUGCACAACUUUAUAAAUAGGAUUCAUAUCUCUUCAUUUGAUUGGACGAGACUAGUCCCUGUUGUGCUACAGUACGCGGGAACAGUAGGUCUUCCCAUAAUUUGCGCUAGGGGCUUGGUACACUCCCAAACGAAGCAGAUAUUUGUGCCUAGGCAUGUAACAUGCUCAUGAGAUUUUCCAUUGCCACAUCCAGUGCUCGUUUGCUUGGUUGUAUCUAGGCAUGUAACAUGCUCAUGAGAUUUCCAUUGCCUUACGGUAACAUAGCAGGAUGAGGGUUGAACUCAACUCAUCUUACCUAUGUUGCUAUUAGUUCCAUUGCAUGGGAUAAUUCAUAAAUUGUCUUUCAUUUUUUAUCCUCUUUUUAUUUUCCUACUUGCGCAAUUCAGGAAUAUCAAUGUAAUGUUUUCUCUCUAUGUAAAGCGUGAGAGAGGUUGGAAGACAUUCAAGAGACCAGGAGUUGAAGCUUUUCUGCAACAUAUGGCAAACAUGUAUGAAGUUGUUGUAUAUUCUGAUCAACUGCAAAUGGUAAGUUGUUUUUAACUUAUCCUUCAGGUAGACUGUUAUGUUAAUACCCUAAUGUCUACAUGUUUCACUUGUAGUAUGUGGACCCUGUAGUUGAAAGGUUGGACUCAACGGGUCAGAUACGCAAAUUAUCAAGGCCUGCAACUAAGUACCAAGAUGGUAAACAUUAUCGGGUAUGAAGACUGCCUGGCUUUACUAUUUGAGCAAUAAGCACACUCCAUAAAGAAUAAAACAUUGUCAGUAAUAGUGAAUAUCAUCCAUUUUGCUGUUUUAUACUAAUAAUCGCCUUUCAAUCAUUCACGGUAUGUGCUCGUAAAUAAGUAUGUGAGCCUAUACCCAAGGAUGCAUGUAAAUCAAUAUGGACACUAAUACAGUAUUAUAGUAUUCUUUCUAUUGUAAAUUAAGAUCGAUGCUUGUAUUGUUGGGAAUUUCAAGAGAAGUGAACCAUUCAAUUGUGUAUUUAUCUGUUUAUUUGUUUAUUGGGUCAAUUAUCUGAUAUGUGAGCCAUCACCAAGCCUUCCGUUUUGUUACUGUAUGAUAUUUCUCCUUUUAAUAUUUUUUGUCAUGCUUUACCAGGAUUUGUCAAAGUUGAACAGAAAUCCUGCGCAAGUUCUUUACGUCAGCGCACAUGCUCUUGAAUCUUGCCUGCAACCUGAAAAUUGUGUUACAGUCAAACCCUGGAAACUUGAAACUGAUGACACUGAGUUGCUGGAUCUGAUUCCAUUUCUUGAGUGUAAGUUUACCAACACGUCUCCUGUAUCCCUAAAAAAACAUCUCGUGUAUUACGGCAUUACCAUGUGGUUCUUGGUAUCUUCGUUGUUGUCUUCUGAGUCUGUGACCUCAAAGUGCUAAGUGUUAAUGAUGCUAACUUUUAUAUUACAGAUCUUGCCAUAGCAAGGCCUUCUGAUAUUCGGGCAGUGCUUGCUUCCUAUCAAGGUCAUGACGUUGCUAAAGAGUUUCGCAAGCGUAGCAAAGAACUGGAGAGGUAAGCACAUGGUUACAUUCUACUACAGGAUGCCUGUCAUUUAGAAUACUUUAGGUUUGCCGUCUUUACAUUUACCAGUGAAACUCUCUUUGUGUGGCAUUUGUUGUGGACUGUCAUGGUUGCAUUCUACUGCAGGAUGCCUGUCAUUUAGAAUAUUUUAGGUUUGCCGUCUUUACAUUGACCAGUGAAACUCUCUUUGUGUGGCAUUUGUUGUGGACUAUCAUGGUUACAUUCUACUGCAGGAUGCCUGUCAUUUAGGUUUGCUGUCUUUACAUUAUUAUGAACGUGAUAUAUUGGUAUAGAUGUUCCGUUUCAAAAAAAAAAAAAUAUUGGUAUAGAUGUCAUCAGUGUAACUACAUGAGUGGACCUCUCUUUUGUAUGGCAUUUGUUGUGGACUGUCAUGGCAGUUGUGUAUGUUGUUUAGUUGGUACGCCUUAUGCACAAGUUGAUCUGAAUUUCGAAGUACAGAUUUUUUUAGGUGUUGUGCCGGACUUGGCAAUUAUGUAGUAGAAUCAUGCUUCCUUGAGAACCACACCAAUCCCAGUAGUGCAAAAUUAGGACAUUGACCUUGAGUGUAUCAGAUUUCAAGCUUAGAAUGCGUGUCUGGAUUUUUGAAAAUCGGCUUAUCUAGGAUCAGCUAUUUGUUUGUUACACAAACCUGCUAUUAUUAUUAUUUUUUGCUUCUGUGAAUUGAAUGGCCAUUACUUCACCAUCUUACAGGCACAAGCAACAGAAGCAACGUACGAGCAUAUGGCGGCGGUGAUGGAUCUGAUCUUCUGGAAGGACAAAGCUCCAAAUUGACCUACCUAAUCCUAGCUGCGCUUGUUUUUUGUUGGAAGGAGAGCAUACUGAGACUCCUAUGCAUUGCAUUUCUAGUCAAAUGGCUUGGUAGUUUUGGGCAGUUUAGGUUGCCAAACAUUACGACUGAUAUCAGCACUCAUCCCAUCUUCUUAUAACGAUCUCCAUUUCUUGGGCAUCUCAUUCCCAUGUGAAGAAUAGGCUAUAUGUAUAGCACACGGUCUCUGUUAAGAGUUUGAGACCACGCCACCAAGUUUGCCUUAUGCUUGGUUGUCAGAACAUGCGUUGAGAUGAGGCGGUUUUUCUUAAUGGUCCGUGGUCAUUGCAUUCUCUGUCAUCGUGCAGACAUUAUCGACUUGGUGAGAAAUAAUUUAACAGUGGUUUUGUGACUGAAUCGUCUCAUCUGCACCAAAUUCUCUUAUUUAGUGGCAUUCUCGGGUUAAAUUUUUCUUUAAUCAGGGUACUCCCUCCCACUUCUUCCCCAAAUCUUAUGCGUUUCUAGCAUAGAAGCAGUGGCGGAGGCAGGAACUCCAGAAAAUCGAGGUUGGGGGUGGGGGGGCUUAAUGAAAAAGGGGAAAAAAUAUUGCUCAUUGUAAUUAUACAUGGAAAAGCAAGAUCAUGGGGCGGGCCAUGCCCCUGCUGGCCACCCCUUGGCUCAGCCGCUGCUUGGGAGCAUAUGCUUCUGCGCAUCAAAAAUGCUUUUUAAAUGCCAACUCUUUUUAAAAAAAAUGUUGGGUUCAUGUCACACUCGAAUGCUAAAAACUUAAUCAUUUUUUAUGUGUCCAAAAAACAAUUUUGAAUGCCAAAUGUUACGCUUCUUUUUUAUCGACGAAGCACUGUUAUCCCUUUUCCAUUCAAAAUUGUCAAGCACGCUUGUUACACUAACAAGAACAUCUACACACGAAAUCCACUUUUUAAAAUUUUAUUUACUAGUACAUAUUUUGAAUUUACUGUUCAUCCGAAAACAUAUACACCCUAGAGCCAAAAUGGUCAUGCCAUUCUUUCUUUGUGGAAAGGCAAUGUUUUUGUACACUCGAUGAUAUCCAUUGACGAAAGAAUGGCAUUCAAAUGAUGUUACACGCCUCGGUGACCAGACUGUUUUUCUCAUAAUCCUAUCAUUUGAUUUUACACGCCUCCCUUGCAUCCAACGUUUUUAUUUGUAAUUAUAAGAACUUCGAUAAUCUGUGUCUUGCAUGAAUCUCUCUUAUAAAUUCUCCGUCUUAUAAAUUCCCAAAUUCCCGAGGUUCUUAGGGUUGUUUUGACUUGCGGGGCGAAAGAAAGAUACACGGAAAGGAUUCCAUCGUCAUCCAACUUGAAUCGUGUAGGCCUAAUUGACUCGCAAUAGAACCAUAUGAUUUCUUUUUCAAGAGGCACAAGUAAAUGAAGAAACCCUAAUAAAUCGAACCCAAAAGAUGCCAUUGGAAGGGAAAGAAAAGCAUACAACACGCAUAUAAGUUUUUCAACAGUUAAAAUUCUUAUUCACAAAAAAAACUUUGAUUUUUUUAAUAAAGCAGGCCAUCACAGAAAAAAAAUUCGUCGCAAAUUUUUGAAAAAGACAUGGUACUUUUUUUUUCUGGUUUUAGAGCAUGGCCCCUUUUCUCCGCAGAAAAAAGGCCUGGCCCACAUCAAGGAGUCGACCGACCGGGCCACAGACAAACACAGGCUUGAAGCUCGCAGCACGGAUAGCGCUCUCCGGACUCCGCCCAAAUCGCCGCCGCACCGGCUCCGGCCGCUCCCCUGCUCCCGCGGGCGCCAUGACGGCGAAUCAGCCGGCGGGCGAGGCCCUCGCGACCCACAUCUCCGGCAUGUCCCGCCCCGAGAUGUACGACCUCAUGUCCCAGAUGAAGGUGCGCCCCCCAAUCCCCAAACCCUACGACCUCCCCCUCCCGGCGUCCUCACCCGUUUCGCCUCGUCCCGCAGGCCAUGCUCGACCACGACCAGGAGAGGGUGCGCCGAAUGCUCGUCGAGAACCCCGACGUCACCCGCGCGCUCUUCCGGGUGAGUCCUCUCGCGGCCUGCGCUGCUUGCUAGGGUUUGUGGGUUUCCCGGUACAGAUUCCGUGUGUCUAUGCAGGAAGGGGUAGGAUAAAACCCCAUGCCUGUCACAAAUGGUAGUCUCUGAGCAUCUGGUGUGAAUUGCUGGCUACCCCGGUUAAACCUGGCUCAUGUUUGCAUAGGGAGUGGAAAUCGAGGGCCAUUUAUGUUGUAAAAACAUUAUAGGUUGCUCUGUACAUGAUUUUGAUGGAAAAUCCAGCCAUAAGAACAUGCUGUAUAGUCGUGUUAAUGUUGAUAGUGUCACCAGAGGGCGUUCACACCUGUUGUUUCUGUAUGGAAAGAAAAUGGACGAAGAAGAAGAAUGUGUGUCACACGCUUAUGUUUUUCUAGCAAACUUGUAUAAAAGACUAAAACCGAAUCCACCACUUGUUCUAAUACGCCUGUUUCCAAUGGUUUGUUCAAUUGUUAUAAGCAUUCGAAUAUGCAUCAUUAAUGUUUUUGCUUUUGUUCUCAUGGCAAACUUGCCUUGUUAUCUUGCAGUCAAUAUAGGAUUAUUUGUUGUGGUAUCUGCCUACAUAUGUGAACUUUCAAGUUUCAACUUGAUUGUUUUGCUCACAGUGAUGGAAUCUGUUACAUGCAUUUGUGCUGGAUGAAUUUCUCAUAUAGUAUUUUUUUUCUCCUUGCAGGCCCAAGUGGUUCUCGGAAUGGUCAAAACACCUAAAGCUGUAUGUAACAUAAGUUCUUUGACGUUUAAUAUUUGGAUUAUUAAUGUUGAAAUUGAAUCUUUUUUGUCAUCAAAUGCUUGUUGUUCCACAGGCACAAUCUUCGGACAUGCCCCAGCCAGCAGUUGCUCAGACAACUCCUCCUGCAUCAGUUAAAGCUACAGUACAAGAUCAUGUUAACUUGCCCCAGCCUCCCGUGCCUACCAAUCAACAGAAUUUGAAACCUUCUGGCCAAUUUCCAUCGGGCACUUCUAAUCUGACAUCAUCUUUGGACCUUCCACCCAUGCCAGCAAAUCCACCACAAUCAAAAGGAUACCCUAUUCAUCAGAUGCAUUCUGCAUCAGCACCACAGUCAUCUCAGUAUCCAAAUGCUACCAUGCCUCCUCAUGCUCCUCCACAGUAUUCAAAUGUUCCAUCUCAUAUGCCAACAGUGAACAGUCAACCACAGCAACCAUUGCAAAAUCCUGGAAUGUUUAACCAGCAAUUACAGCCACCCCUGCCCCAGUUGCCCAGGCCACCUUCCAUGCAGGCAUAUACACAUCAGAUGCAUCAGCAAAUACCCAAUUCAUAUGGUCAGCACAUGUUGCAACAACCAAUGUUUCAUGUAAGGUUCUAUACUAAAUUUAUGUGGUCCUAAUAACUAGAUACUCGUCUGCAAACUAACCAUGAUAUUUGGAAUUUCUCAGCCAGGCGGGAAUCCACAAAAUUCUUUCUUUACAGGUCAACAACAGCAGCAAUUACCCAACCAGCCACCACCAUUGCCGAAUCAGCCACCACCACAGCUAUACCAGGUGUGAUAUCGAUAUGGUUAAUUUGAUUAUGCUGUCUUGAAGUUGGCUUUUUCCUCGUGUAAAGAAAAUUGCAAGUAUAUUCCUGAAUGUUUCUGCCUUUCCGCACCAUUUGCUAUGCAAAAUCAGUUUUAGGAUGUAAAUGAAAUGAUGGAGUAUUGUUGAUCUGCUAUUAUCUCAGGAGUUUUAGAUCUCGAAGAACCAUGCAUGCAAUGAGUAAUUGUUAACUAACCUCUUGCUAUCAUAGGGUAGUAGUCCUGACUGCUGUUAAAUUAUCUGUAUUAGAUGACAUAUUAUCAGCAUUAUGAAGUAGCGGGUGAACUGAUUCUUAUCAUGUAUAAUCCAAUAGACUAAUAUUUCACACAUGUUGGCCUACAUGACAGUUAGCAUUGCCUUCUACAUGUUUUACUUGGCUAGGUUCUACAGUUCUUUUCGUUGUUCUGAUCUGAUUGACACUUGACAUUAUAAAAAAAAUCAGUGCACAUGCAGUUCAAACAUUACUAUUUUUUCUUGCUGCUGUGCUCCAAAUUCUUUACCACUAUGUCAUUAUUUAUUCUCCCUUUCAUUAUUUGUAACUGCUCAUAGGGUUCUUGCUCGGACAGUUGAACCAAAUGCCAAAUAUAGCAUGCUUAAAAUGUUUUUGUUUUCUCAGCAAGGACCGCAUAUUCUAGUUAUUCUUGUUAGGACAUCACAAAAAUUGAGGGCUCAUAUAUAAUAUCUAAUCCAUGGACAGUUUUAAGCAUCUCUUCAACAUUUUUCGCGCAUAAACUCCUCCGCAAGCUGGUCAUUCCAUGUUCUCUUGCAAAGAUUGAAUAGGAAACCCUUAACAAGCCAGUUUGAGGUUUAAUUCAUGUCUUGGGUUUUGUUGACUUAUGGAUCGCCAGAUUAUUGCUGACUUUUUGGACAUCAAGCACAACCUGAAAUUUAGUCUUAAGGACAUCAAGCACAACCUAAAAUUUGGUCUAUGCAAACCACACAUCACUUCUUAGAUACGAGAUUAUUGUUGUUCGCCAGAUUCUAACAGUCCCACCUUAUCUGUGAUGUGUCGAUCAUGGACUCAACAAUCAACAGUUAACUCUUGUAAUUUGUCUGUUUAACAGGCUAAUUCACAUGUGACCUCGCACUACAAUUCCCAAAGUAUGCAAGUCGAUAGAUCAGCUCCAUGGGGGCGUGGCAACCAAGAAGCAUCGUCGGCCGGAUCCCAUUUCCCUGGACAAUUCCAAGGUCUACCUGGACAGAUGACCCAAGGGAUUGGCGGCAUCCAGGCCCGCCCAGAAGCACCUGUAAGUGUCCCUGCAACUGCAUUUUAGAACAAGUGGUCAUGUGUGCUAUGUUUUACCCCUUUUCCUAAAAAUUGAACCACUCACGUGUUAUUUAUUUGAGCAGUUGACAGCCGACAUGGAAAAGAUGCUAGUACAGCAAGUCAUGAGCAUGUCGCCCGAGCAGAUCAACGUGCUGCCCCCGGAGCAACGUCAGCAGGUGCUUCAGCUGCGAGACAUGCUGCGUCAAUGAUGUACGCGACGAGCAGCUGCCCGAGCAGAAGAAUGACAGUUCAAUAGAGCCGCGCAGAUCAGAUCAAGUGCUCCAUGCUCGACUUACGCUGUCACCGUGACAUCUUCAUUGUUCAAGCUGAUUGACAUCCCUGCUAGCCUGCCGCGUGCCUGGGAGUGUGGUUGUAGAAUGAACGCUUAGCCCAUUUCGUUAUUUAUAGGCAGCUCUUUGGAUAUAUACAUUUCAACUGAUUGACAAAUGUCGCGGCAUGAUGUGGUACUCUGCUGCUGCCGCCACAGUUUUAUGCCGUGUUGUGAUUGAAUUCCGGUCCUUGUCUGAUGACGGGUCUAGCUCUUGAGAUGACUGGUUGAUAUAAUAUGAGAGUGGUGGUAAACGUUCUUGUUUGUACUCCUUUUUUCUUUCUUUCGGAUCUUUCUUUUCUCAAUUUUGUAUUGUCUACGUGCUAUGAUGUAGAACGUCAGAAAUUGUCUUACAUUAUGGGACAACGGGAAUAUUUUCUUUGAAACUUUUGGCAUUCAGUUAUCAGAAC